This 46602-nucleotide long non-coding RNA is filed under the name Panicum hallii. RNAcentral describes it as "long non-coding RNA (PHAL_LNC000921)". The record is from RNAcentral. Lineage: Eukaryota; Viridiplantae; Streptophyta; Magnoliopsida; Poales; Poaceae.
UUUUUUUUUUGGUGAACCGAAAUGGAGAUUCACUAACUCAAAGAAAGGGUUACAGUCAGUCAUCACGCGCUAGGCGUGUUACAAAGUCAGGGGGAUGUGUCAGCCAUACAGCGGUCGACAUCUCUCUGAAAGCACUAAUAUUUUGUUUUAUUUUUGAAAAGCUUGCGGGAGCACCGCAGUGUCAUUUAAGAAGGAGAGAAGCAAAGUUCCGAGUUUUUACAGACUUGAUUUACAUAAAUAAAAAGAUCUCAAGCACUCUAGAAAGUAGAUUAAACAUUAAACAACGAUAACUCAGGUCUUCCGCAGGCCAAAGUCCUGCAAUGCGCCUCGGCUUUGCUCUCCUGGAAAACCUCCACAGGUGACAAGAUCUUGUUGUCAAAAACACGCUUGUUUCUCGCCUUCCAAAUAUUCCACGCACAAUAUAUCAUCAGAGCUGCCUUGAGUCGACAUUUUUUCUUAGGUAGAUUAGCUAAACCUUUCUCCCACCAAUUCAUCACUUCUAGUCCUUGUCCUGGUGCCUGAACCAACUGCUGCGUCCAGUUCUCCAUCUUGUCCCAUACUUGUCUAGCAAAAGUGCAGUGAAGUAUCAAAUGUGCAGUUGUCUCGGGUUCUUGAUUGCACAGGGGGCAGAUUGGGUUGCAGGGCCAGUGUCUAGCUAUCAUCUUGUCUGCAGUGAGUAUCUUACACUGAAUCAAGAGCCAUGCAAAGAAUUUGUGCUUCCCUUCUGCCUCUGCCUGCCAAAUAUGUUCUCCUCGGAACAAUCUGUAAGAGCCAAGAAACUGUGCAUUGUAAGCUGAUUUCGCUGUGUAAACCCCAUCUGUCGUCCAUCGCCAACAGAUACUAUCUUGCUCAUCAUUCAGUUGUACUUCUUGCACCAAAUCCCAAAGUUCCACAAAGCUGGACAUCUCACUAACUGAUUGCAUUCUCCAUAAUCCUCUAGUUCAAUUCUGAUUUUGAAGUUCCUCCUUCACCAUUUGUUUUUCCUCCAUGCCAACCUGAACAGCUCUGGAAAACGAUCCAUAGGUGCCUGCCCAUUCAUCCAAGUUGAUUGCCAGAAACUAGCCUUCUCACCAUUGCCAAGCGUGACCACCGUACUUGAAACAACUGCCUGUCAAUUGCAUCAACCGGUGGUUCAGUCCCUACCCAAUGGCGUUCUGGAGUUGUCCAUUGGUACCAAAGCCAUCGUAACCGCAGAGCCCUACUAAACAAAUCAAGAUCAAGGAUACCCAGUCCUCCAAACUUUUUUGGUCUCAUAGUUUUACCCCACUUCACUAGACAGUGUCCACCAUUUACCUCUGCCACACCUUUCCAGAGGAAACUUCUUCUGAGCUUAUCCAUUUUUUUCGCUGCCCAUUUUGGCAACUUGAAAACUUUCAAGAAAUAAGUAGGUAGAGAGGAAAGCACCGAGUUAACUAAUCGUAACCUCCCAGCCUUAUUCAGCAACCUUCCUUUCCAUGCAGCCAAUUUCCCCCCCAUCUUAUCUAUCAAAGGCUGUAUAUCGACCCUUCUGAUUGCCCUUGCAUGUAGUGGUAACCCCAAAUAUUUGCAAGGGAAGGAGCCAACAGGGCACUGAAACGCCUCCAUUAUAUGCUGCAGAUCAAGCCCCUCACAGCGUAUAGGAUAAACUGCACUUUUUUCAGUGUUGGUGACUAAGCCAGAAGCUCUUCCAAAAGCUGCCAAAAUGUUCUUUGCCACUUGCACUUCUCCCCCCACCGGAUUUAGAAAAAUUGCAGCAGCAUCUGCAAACAAACUUAUUCUAAUUUUUGCAUGUCUAUUGCAAAUAGGUGUCAGCAUGCCUUGCUCAGUAGCUUUGUUCAACAUCAGAUGCAUUGGUUCCAUGGCUAAAAUAAAAGGUAUAGGAGAUAAAGGAUCUCCUUGUCGCAGGCCCAACUUGUGUUUGAACCAUUUCCCUCUCACCCCAUUAAGAAGCACUGUUGAUGAUGAUUUCCCCAACAGAAUUGGCACCUAUGCUCUCCACCUAGCCCCAUAACCCAUCUGCUGCAACACCUCUUGUAAGUAGUCCCACCUGACAGUGUCGAACGCCUUUGCAAUGUCUUAGUUUAAGAAACAAAGUUGGCUUCCCUGCUCUGUGUAACUCCCUUAUCAGGUUUUGCGUGUACAAGAAGUUGUCGUGGAUACUCCUUUUUUUUAAUGAAGGCACUCUGUGCUCUAGACACCAAGCUGUCCAACUCAGCAGACAGUCUGCCAGCUAAAAUUUUAGAAAUUAGCUUUGUGAUGCUGUGAGAUAAGAUAAUGGGUCUAUAGUCUCCAACCAUGCUGGCAUCAUCGUUCUUUGGUAGAAGAACAAUAUGAGCAGUGUCUAGCAAAUUGAAAUGCUGGUCAUGUCUGGCAUAGUAGUUGAUAGCAGCUAGCACAUCUCCUUUAAUAGUUUCCCAACACGUUUUGUAGAACAGACCAAUGAAACCGUCCGGGCCAGGAGCCUUUUCUGAGGCCAAUUCUUGCACAACUGCCCUAACCUCCUCCUCUGUAAAUUCUUCCUCAAGUUGCUGCAGCUCUCUGCUAGGUAGUUGGAUCACAUCCCAAUCCACUGAAACUUCUCUAUUCUGCUGCAUCCCCAAUCUGUUACUAAAGUGCUGAAAAACGCAGUUUUCUUUUUUAUCAUGCGUGUGCAUAAUUCCUUCUGCCGUCUGAAGAUGUUUGAUGAAUUUUUUUCGUCGUCUUCCAUUUGCUUGCAAAUAAAACAGCUUACUGUUUGCCUUACUUGCUCUGAUGCUGACCAAACGUGAUUGUUGCCUUGCCCGAAGCUUUUCCACUGCUGCCAUCCCCAGAAACCGUGCUUUCAGAUCUCUUCGCAACUGAAUUUCAACUGUGUUCAACUGCCUGUGCUCCUGCACAACAUCUAAGAUGACAAUUAACUGUCUUGCUGCGCAGAACAGAAGUUUGUUGUUUCCCAGAGACUUUUUUGCCCAUUGCCGUAAUGCCUUUGCAGUUCUGGAAAAUUUGAUAUGCAGCCUUAGAAAGGGGUUGAAGACAUUGACUUCCUGCCCCCAAGCUUGCUGUACGACAUCAUGAUAUCCUGGAACUUUCGACCAGAAGGAUUCAAACCGAAAUCCCCUAUAAUUGCACACAACUGAUGCCCCCACUAGCAGUAAGGGACUGUGAUCAGACACUGUUGACGAAAGAGCAUGUAGCAUAGAGGCUGGUAACAUGAGAUCCCACUCAAUUGUGCAAAAAGCACGGUCAAUUCUGGUUUGCGUAGUGUCAUUGGACCAAGUGUACUUCCUUCCUUUGAGUCCUAGUUCCUUGAGCUCCAAAAAAUUGACAGUGUUUCUGAAUUCUCCCAUCAGACGCCGGUUCAGGUUAUCAUUACUCUUAUCCUCUGCCUGCAGGAUUAGGUUAAAGUCUCCAAUUGCUAGCCAUUUGUCCCCCACAACUGUCUUCACAUCUCGUAAUUCCCUUAGGAAAUCAAUCUUGUCCCGAUCUCCUUGUGGUCCAUAGACCGCAGUUAGCCACCAUACUGACUCACACUGCGAUGAAGCAACACACACCGUUACCGAAUGUUGUCGGUGUUCAGAAUGCACGAUGGUAAAGUAAUCCUCGUCGACUGCAAUUACUGCUCCUCCACGAGUGCCCUGAGCGGGUAGAAAGGCAAACUGCUUGCUGAACCGAACCCCCAGCGUUUCACUGAUGUCCGCUGCCUGAAUCACCUCCAUCUUUGUCUCUUGCAGUGCUGCUAUUGUACAUAUGUAGUCUUGGGCUAGAUCUUUCACCACCUUCCUUCUUGCCUUAUUGAGUUAUUGUUCAAACAUCUCACGUUCCAGUUUAGCAACAAACACUUCUGCUCACUCAUUGGGAAACCAAAAGAACACACACCAACAGCACCUCUCCAGCAUGGAAGAAGGCGCCAAAAGGGAGACUCUCCCCAAAACACAAAAACAAACACCACACCAGGUACAGGCCAUGUCCACCACGAACAUGGAAACACAAACACACACACACACACACACACACACACACACACACACACACACACACACACACACACACACACACACACAACGCGGGCCUCACCCGCUUAAGCAUCAGCAUGAAUUCCGAUGGCACUGAGGCUGUCAGUGCCCUCCACAAUCUGUAGCCCGAACAUGUCCCUGUAGUUUGUUGCAGAGUCAUCCUGCAUGGGCGCGACGAACUGGGUUCUGAACUUUUCCUCCUUUGCUGGUUCCAUCACCUCUUUUUCCUCCAACAGUCCGCAUUUCUUCAUAAGCAGUGCCGUUGCUUGCUGCUCCAUGGACAAGGCAGACUUGGGUUUGUUUGCUAGACGAGUGCUCCUUCUAUCUUUCUGCACGCUCGACUCCACCUCUUUGGCUUUCGUCGCCGGUGUCUGAAGAAGACUCUUCGCAAUUCUCUUCGUGUACAGCAAAUGUUCCUCCCCCCAAUAGCAUCAGCAACUUCCUCCGGCUGCUCCUGGGGAGCUACCGGCCCAUCGCUCACUGCUACUUGAUCCGGCCCAUCAUUGUGCGCAUUGGGAGGGAAAAGUUCCCUCGGCCCAGUAAGAUCGCGCACCACCGGCCCACUGGCUACGGACAGGCUCACAGACCCAUCCAACCAUUCAGCCACCUCAGCUCCGACCACAACGUGCCCUGCGCUGUUGUGAUCCACUUGCUCCCCAAGGGCUGCCCCCUCUGGCCCUCUGUGGGCCCUUGCUUUUGAAAAACUUCUGUUGACCCUUGUUGAGGAAGCAUCGGUCUCCCAUCUGCCUCGUCUCUCAUCGGGUCUCCCAUCUGCCUCGUCUCUGCAAGCACUAUGCAUGUGCCAAAUAAUGCAUGUACAACUCUAUUCUGAUCUCUAUUACAAUGUCUAAUCUCCACCUCACGAACUUGAACGAUUUGAAAACUGUCGAAAAAUUAAUUGUACUAAGUCAUAUGGAAUAAAGCAUCGACCUCGUUCACAAGAAUUUUAGAGGAUUUCUAACAUGAGAUUUCUCCCAUCUCACAUAACAAUUACAUGUGUCUAUCUCGAAUACCCGUGUUUUGUAUGAUUUCCAUCCAAACGGGUUGCUCUAUUUUUUUUAUCCAUAAUUCUGUUCAUUGCAUCUGCAUACCUACCAAAAUCCUGCGAUUUUUUCUACUAGGUAAAUAUGUCCGUGCGUUGCUACAGAAUGAGACUGUAUAAAUAUCAUGGAGUGGAUCAUGUAGUUAAUUUGUAGAGCUCUACAUGACCAAGUCGUGGAUAUAUGGCUGGUCUGAGUCAUAUACGGAUCAAGGUCCAUAUUAAUGAUAGAAGUUGAAUCAAACCAAAAAUUAAGAUAAAAACAUUACAUACUUUAAAAAUAGAUAAAAAUUACUAUGUUUUUGCCACUCCCAUGCUCCAAGGAGUCUCUAAUAGGUUAAUAGCAACCAAGGCCAGUAUCUAACACAGCAUAAAAAAAAGUCAGCUCAGAGUUGUGCCUCGCAUGAUCUAAGGCUAGUUCAUAUAGGCUUUUCAAUCACAUUUGCAGCAGCUGUACGUCGUUGUAACUACCGUAUCACAUUUCUUAAAUGGACAACCAUACGCGAACGGGCAUAUGUACCCGUAGACUAUUCCAAUAUAUAUGUUUAUUAUUAGGUCGGUAAACUUGGUACGUGGUGGCACAUCUUCUCUGUUAGUUCGUUGCACGCAUGUCGGACGGACACACCGAAUAACACGGCACCACGUCGAGUGCGAGGAUGAGCGCAAGACUAUCGGCAUGCUGAAUUUCUCAUCCCUUCUGCCGAGAGCUACUCACUCGCCUGCGGCCUGCCUAUAAAUUCCUCGGCCAUGUCGUCUCCUCCGACAAAAUCGAGCCAAAAGCAGAGGAGAUCAAGCUGGGAUCCAUGGCCGCUGUGAUGAUCUCCUUCAAGGCUAUUGCACUGGUGGCAGCACUCCUCCUCCCCGUUCUGGGCGCUCACGCCGAGCCGAGCUACAAUAACGUCACCUCCGCCCGCAGGGAGCUGUACUACUCCGCCGGCUCCACCCCCAGCAGCACCUGGCGGCCUGCCAGGGCCACCUGGUACGGUCGCCCCAACGGCGCCGGCCCUGACAACAACGGUAUGUGCCGGAGCUAAUGCUGCCUUGUUGUGCGUCUGAGACUGUCCUGGCGGUCGCGAUGCUGAUCGAUCGAUACGAUCUGCAGGUGGCGGGUGUGGGUACAGCAACACCAACCAGUACCCGUUCAACUCCAUGACGUCGUGCGGCAACCAGCCCCUGUUCUUGGACGGCAAGGGCUGCGGCGCAUGCUACCAGGUACGAGCAUGAGCAUGAGCAUUCUAAGCAAUGUCACAAUGCAUGAUAAUAUGCAUCGAUCUUCUUCACGUACGUUCUGAACUUCUGAUUGCUCUGCCUAUAUGCUUCAGAUAAGGUGCACCAGCAAGAACAACCCUGCCUGCUCCGGCGAGCCCAAGACGGUGAUCAUCACCGACGUGAACUACGACACCAAGGUCGCCCCCUACCACUUCGACCUCAGCGGCACGGCGUUCGGAGCCAUGGCCAGGCCCGGCUACAACGACAAGCUCCGCAGCGCCGGCAUCCUGGACAUCCAGUUCCGGCGGGUGCCCUGCAGCUACAGGGGCCUGCCGGUGAGGUUCCACGUGAUGGGCGGCUGCAACCCCUUCUACUUCGCGGUCAUCGUGUACUACGCCGGCAGCGACGGCGCCGUGGUGCAGGUGGAGCUGAAGGAGGCCAACUCCAACACGUGGCGGCCGCUCUACGAGUCCUGGGGCGCCGUCUGGAGGAUCGACCCCGGCCACCCGCUCAAGGCGCCCCUCUCGCUGCGCGUCCGCAGCGACUCCGGCAAGGUCCUCGUCGCUAACAACGUCAUCCCGGUCAACUGGAGGGGCAACGCCGACUACCGCACCAUUGCCCAGUUCCGCUGAACGCUCGCCGGCGGCAAUAGAUCACUCACAAUCAUCUGCUCGGCCGGUUCAUUACUUUUUGUAUCGUCGUCGAUCAAUCAUGUGAUUGCGAAUUUGCAGUGGAUUUUUCUUUACUGUCUUUGCGAGGUUUCUUGUGAGAUUAUUGUUGCUCCUACUUGCGAUUUGGAGAAUUAUUCUAGGUAAGUCUUGAGAAAAUUCUUUGUGCACCAUUGAAACCUAUAACAAUCCCUUCAUUGACAUCCAAAAUUAGAGGAUCCCUUCAUUGCCAUUAAUUCUAAUUUUCAUUCCCUUAUCUGUCAUUACCAUUACUUUUAGCACAAAUCACACCGUCACACCGUUAAAAUGUGAAUAAUUUUUUUCGUUAUCCCGAUUUUACCCCUCCAAUCUUUCUCUUUCCCCGAAUCACUCCAUUCCAAACCUAGCUCGAGCUGCUCGCGGACGUCGGAACUGGAGGCGCGCGCGAAUCCGGCGAGCAGGCGAGCGCGGCCCCGGUCGAGCAGGCACGCGCGGCCCCGGACGAGCAGCAGGCGUGCGCGGCCCGAGGCGGCGGCCAAGCAGGCGCGCGGCCGUGGACCCAUGCGCGCGGGCCCCGAGCGGUGCCUGAGUGGGCGAGCAGGCGCACGCGUGGCUCGGAAGAGCACCCGCCGUGCCCGCCCCUACCUAUUUUGCAGCGCCCCCGUGGCAGGCACCCCUCCCCUGUCAGCGCUAUUGCAUGUCCGGCUCCAGCUCGGUCCGUUCUUGCCUGCUCCCUAUGCGUGCAGCAGGAGAUGAGGGAUUAGAAAAAUGCUCCAAGGUUAGUAUUGUCUUUUGACCUUCCACUUAACAGCAGCUUGACUGCUCUCUAACGGUAACGGCAGAUAAGGGAAUGGAAAUUAGAAUUGAUGGCAAUAAAAAGAAUCCCUAAUUUUAGAUGGCAACAAAGGGUUUGUUAUAGGUUUCAAUGGCACAUUUCUAAUUUUCUCAUAAGUCUUUGCCUUACCAAUGUUUGACUUCUUAAUCAGUUGUUUUAGAUUAUUUUAGUAGAUGCAAAUAUGAAGCUGUAACUUGCACUUCACUGUCGCUUUUCCGAGCACUGCUGCGUGCUUAAACUGCAGUAUAUAUAGCUCCCUCAUGUUGCUCAACGUGGAAAAGCACAAAGGUUGACUAUGCCAAGUUCUCUGUUUUUCAAAUCAAUUUACAUUCAACGACAAAAUUGUAAAUUAAAGUAGAAUGAUUCAGUACAUAUUGGUCGAACUAAACUGUAAGUCUGUAAUGGUAAAGACUAAUCAAAUAUAAAAUGUAUGACCUGCCUUUAAACUAGUUCACCCGUGUUUUGUUUAGAUUCACGAGCUCCUAAAAUGCAAAUUGAGCCCAUAAAUUAUUUAGGUCAAUCAUUAGAGGACAAAAGGCCACGACCUAGUCCAGCUUCCUACUAGUUGAACCACGACAUCAGAUCAUAGGUGGGCUUGGCUUGUUGUGGGCUCAACACAUAUAUGCAAAUCCACCAACUUUUCCUUACUGGGUCCAAACUACAAAUUGCCGACCGCAAUCGGGUGCCAAAAUUCCCGCACAAACCCAUGUAGGAUCCAACGUGGCAGUCAUCCACCUAUGCGGCUGACUCGGGUGGGGUCCAUGUGGACAAUGACUCACUCAAUUACUAUAAAUUUUUUUUCCUAUGUAAGACUUUGGAAUAAGGGAUUGAAUUCUACCAAUUCAUUUGAAAUUCCUAUGAAAUACGCUCUUCCAUGGAUAAUUUGGAGAAAAAUAACCAUGAGGUCCAACCUCAUACUUUUUUCUUUUGUAUCUUAGGAUUCAUGUGUUAUUCCUGUGUAGCAUCCAAAUAUAUAUUUUGCAACUUUCCUAUGUUCUAGAUUCUUGUAGCAUUUCUGACGGGGUCAUGGGUAACAAGUACCCUAAAGAGCAGCCCUCAGGGGCCUAAGCGGAGAUUAGUAAGGUGCCGUCGGGUGGCCCAACCCGGUGGAGUGCUGAAUGCAACCGGUACAGGCCCAACAAUGAAAAAAAGACCCCCGGCCAAGAAGUAGCCGGGCGAAGGCCACGUGGCGCCUUCCUGACCCCUCGCCCCGCGGCGUGGCCGGGAGGGAUGAGCCGGCCUCGACAGGGAGCCUCCGGGGCAGGGACACCUGGGGAAGGCGCGGCGGGGACUUAACUCCCUAAGAUAUGAUGGGACAUGUGCGUAUCCCUCCCACAACAGCCGGGUCAGGGGCGCCGCCCACGAUCCGGAAGACCGAGGAGCGCCCCCGGUCAGCCAGACCAUCAUGAUGUCGUGAUCGGCGCUUACUCUAACCACGCACUGUUUUUCUAGAUAUGAACGAGGGAAAUGUAGCAGUGAAAGUUUUUAAUGAGCACAACUAGUUCUUAUUAUACACAUAGUGUAGCCUAGUCGCACAUUCCUAUUAAUAAAGAAUGAUCGUGAAGAACAUUGCAUGUAUUUUUUUUACAGAAAUGUGCUUUUACCUUUAAAUUUCAUAGGUAAUGAAAUGUUUUGUUUCAUUUUGGGGUGACAACAUGAAAGGGAGGAGGCCCAUGCCCCCUAUGGUAGACGCAGUCCAUAGGUGUGCACAAAUUUUACCAUAUAAAUUAAAUAUUAGUCUCCUCAAUAAUUUACACCUUUUAGAUGUUUAGUGGCUUCAGUUUCAUUAGCAUAACCUUUUAUUUCGGCGAUCUACCUCAAAAGUUUUCGGUAGAUUUUUUUGUGAUGUGAUGUGAUGUGACCUAAUCAUUAAGACCUUACCAAUAUAAUUCCUAAUAUAAUUAAAAAAUAUAAGUGUUGAAGAAUAGGAAAAUACUAAUCAUGCAUGAAACACUACAACCAAUGUAUUGUGUCAAAAUCAGCCGAAUUGCUAUAACACUAGUACAGAACACGGUAUUAGUUCCGGUUGGGAAUUGAACUCAAGACCUGCUGCCUCGUGUAUAGUUUCCUUAACACCCUAUCUACACAGUACAUGUGACUCUAGAUGGGAUGCUUUCAUUUUAAAUUGACCCGUGAAGAACCCUUUAGUCUCAUUUGGUAACCCCAACUGGGACUAAAGAGUCCUUUAGUUUCGGUUGGAGCCUCCAACCGGAACUAAAAGGUGACUCUUUAGUCCUGGUCGGUGUUACCAACCGGUACUAACUUUUAAUCCCGGUUGGUGUCACCAUCCGAGACUAAAGAGGGACUAUCAAGGAUAGAUCCCCAGUUACCCGCAAGGAAGCUAUCCGCAAUGAAAACGAAGUCGGACUCCUACUGGGAUUCCUCUGUGAUCCUAAUAGGACCCUACCCUGUAACUCUACUAGGACUCCUACCUUAUAACCGACUAGUAACCCACCUCUGGGAUAUAAGGAGGGCAGGGAUACCUAGAUCGGUAGAGCAGCCAAUAUGCAAUUCAAUACCCAAGCACAGGGUGCAAUAUACAAUACCCCUAAACAGGAUGUAGGACAUUGCGCUACUCUGGCGGACUGAAUGUGUGUCUUGUAUGCUCACUUUUACCUUCAAGUUUCAGAUUCGGCGAUCCCUCACCAAACAAUCUCCUACAUUAGGGAAUCUCUAGGUAGGCUGGUGGUAAAAAUACCAGCAGUUGACGCUCACCGUGGGGCAGAUCGUAGAGAUGAUCGCACAAGCCUGAGGGACCUCUUCAUCAAGAUUAUCCACUCCACGCAGGAUCAAUUCAUCGAGUUUGAGAUCGAAUCUUUGAGCGAACAACUACAUCAACCUCGACUACUCAGCUCGAAUCCAGCUCGCGCCGCACAAUUGACACACCAGCGACUGCUUCAACUACUCAUCUCGACUAGAAACUAGUCGAGGAUGGGCCUCACACCGUCGACAACAAGUCGGGGACAAAUUCUGACUAGUUGGCUUCAUCAACAACCGCCAUGGCUUCAUCGACAAUCAUCCACGAAUCAAGCUAAGUCACUUAUACCUUUUCCGACUUGUUCUUCACAGGACCGGCUACUAUUUUGGGUACGUCUCUCGACUGGAAUUACCCUCGGGGGCUACACCAUGAUGGAGUACUUCUAAGGUUUGUUGACUAACAACCCACACGCUUGGUAAAUUGAGUUCAUAGGGUGCCGCCCACAUGCUUGGUACACCAAGUUUUGUCAGCUCGCAGCGGUUACACCCUACGGACAUGCGCGCCGCAACACGCGCUCUCGCUGACUACUUUAUGCCAACGAGCAUUCUCUUUGUCGCAAUGCCGAUUUCUUAUUUUUGCAUUCGUUGUCUUCCCUUAACAGUCGCUAAUCUACUCGGGUAGCACAUGCCUUAAUCGUGAAAUCUCGGCUCUUCUAUCACACCUAACGCCUCUAUGCGUACACGGGAUAAAGAUCUUAUACACGCUAUGAGCAACAGCUAAAACGAGACCAGGUGCUUAAACAUAACAGGUGGACUACUCGGGAGAUUUACAUGGCCUAAACAAGAGCAUGGCACAACAAAUUUAUUUUUAUACUGAAUAAAUUUCUGUAUAUUUGCAUUAUGCUACAUAAUGUAUGCAUUGUCUUUUUUCAGAUUGAGCUACGGCAACAACUCUAAAGUUCACUCGGCACAUCUACGAUGGCUUCACUAGCUACCAGGCUCGGGGGCUGGGCACCAAUAACUAGUCGUGGUUUCUACGGCUCGCCUAGCUCGUAAGCUUGGGGGCUGGACGCUGCAAAACCACUCGGAUGAUGACUCAUGUGAAGACUGAAGGCGAAAAAGGUAACCCUAGGUACUGCAUGGUUAAAUAACCAGUGGCGGCCUAAGGGUCCUUUGGGAUAAGAUCUAAUUUAAGUGGUAUUUUAACCAUCAAUUCAUAUUCUACAAAAUUCUACAACGUGCAUGCCACGUUCUUUUGGAUCUUUUUUCCAAAUUUGGGAUAUGGAUUCAAGGAUCGGGGGCUACAGGAUACGUGUCAUCAGCGACUUGUUUUUCAAAUCUAUUUGGAAGACAAAUGAAAGAAGAUUCAAGACUAAUUGAACACUCAACCUGAUUCCUCGAUUCAACCUAAAGCUCGGGGGCUACUUCAUCGCACCCCAUAGAGAAGAUAAUUUUUGAAGACUUAAAAUAUACUUGGGCAAGAGCACCUCGCAACCUCAAAAUAGACAGGAAAGUACACGAGAAGAUACAUUCUAGACGAAGUUCAGAAGAACUCGAAGAUAACUUUAGAAGUACUUGGAAGCCUGCACUACUCGGCUACGAAGAGCUCGGGGCCUUGUCAAGGAUAAAUCCCCAGGUACUCGCAAGAAAGCUACCCGCAGGGAUCAUGCUACAACUACUUUGACUUUGCGAGGACGCUCGGUGACCCACCAAUGACUACUUCAGCUACUCGUCUCGACUAUAAAACUCUGGAGGGAUACCUCCAAGGUGGUAGAAUGUAGGUGGGGUAUCGCUGAGAUCAGGAGCUCCAAGCCCACCGAGGGAUACCACCGAGCUGUCGGUGUUUAACCUCCAAGCCCACCGAGGGAUAACCCUGGUAGAUUGUAGGUGGGGUAUCACUGAGAUCAAGAACUCCAAGGUGCAAGGAACAUGAAACUUUAGACAGGUUCUGGCUGCAGUAUGCGUAAUACCCUACGUCCUGUUUGAUGGUUUGUAUUGCCUUAGAUGUGGAUUGUUGGUUGAUGCUUUGGAGAGGGUCCCUGCCCGCCUUUAUAUAGUCUGGGGGACAGGGUUACAUGGAAAUUUUAGCCCAAUACUAUCUUAAGAGUCCUAUCCGAGUACUAUUCGAGUAGUUUCCUUCUGUUUCGACUAGUUCUACUCUUGUACGAGUAGAUACAAUUGGUGUAGGGUGCGGGCAAUGUCACAUCCCUUAUCCUAGAAUAUGUACGCCAUGUACACCGUCCCGUGGCCCCGAGUAGGACAAGCCCCCGAGCAAUUCAUAGUCAAGUACUGUAGGCUUCCGAGUAUUUCUAAAGGCAUCUUCGAGUUCUCCCGAACUCCGUCUUGAAGGUGUUUUUCGAGUAGUUCCUUGACUGCAUCGAGUCUGUGAGGUGCUCAUGCCCCGAGUCAUUCCUGAGCCUUAGGUUGAAUCAAAAGAUUAGGCUGAGGGUCAAAGUAGUCUUGAAUCUUCUACUCUUAUCUUUCAAAAAUUUAAAAAAUAAGCCGUCGAUGACACAUGCCCUAGAUAUGAAAAAAAGGACAAAGAGUCAUGCAGCCCCGGAACGUUGAAUCCAAAUCCCAAGAUAUGGAAAAAAGGACAAAGAGUCGUGGCAUGCAUUGUGUAAAAAAUUAAGAAUUUGAUUUGAUGGUUAAAAUAGGCAAAUUGGUUCAGAAAUUGGAAAAACCUCUUUUUUUGGAAUGAGAUCCCUAAAAAAUGGUUAAACAAAUAACUUCCCCAAAGUAACCCUAAAUUACCGCUCAAAACAAAUCUUAUCCUGAGAAAAUCUCUUCAGCUUCCGCAUAGUGAUACGCCGAGUUGUUUCCUGCGCCCAGCCCCGAGUAUGGGAGCCAGACGAGCUGUCAAAAAUAUGCUGAGUGCCCUGUUGCGCCCAGCCCCGAGCACAUGGGCUAGACGAGCUGCCAAAGGUACGUCGAGUGCCUUGUCGUGCCCAACCCCCGACCAUGGGAUCUAGAUGAGCCACUGAAGGUACGCCGAGUAGUGUAGGUACCGGCUGAGUCAGAGGAGAUAUGCCACAUGGUCGGUGGCGCUAGCCCCUGAGCCUAGGGGUCGGCCGAGUCGCCGCUAGCACGCCGAGUGGUCUGUGCCGAUGAAGUGAUGUCCAAGUAAGGCAGCUCUCGGGAGCAUACCUCACCGAGCAGCAUGAUCCACGUCCGAUCCCCUACAAGGUAAACAUAAAAAUAUAUUGUAACUUAUAUACAAGAUAUUUAGUCAGGAGCGUAUCCCGGCAUUGUAAAAUGCAUGUAAAAUUUUUCGCGUCUUGCUCUUCCUAGAUCACAUAAUUUCUCCGAGUAGGUAGCCUACAUAGCCGUAGCCCAUAGCGCAGGGAGCAUGGCCGCAUGCACGCGUAGGAACAUAGGCGUAAAGAAGAGUUGAGGUCUCACGGAUUAAAGCGUGUGCUACCCGGGUAUUUUAGUGACCAUUAAGAGAAACCUAGAGCAGUCGGCGCUGCGCGAAAAAAGAGAACACUCGUGGAGCGCAUAAUAUACACUCGUUAGGUGUAGUCCCGACUACAAGGCCGAAGUUGCAUGAGUAAUCGGGAACGCAAUUAUGGUGUGGCCGUGGAGGCGUAUGGUUAAUAUCUAGAGAUAUAAAAAAUAUUAAAGCAUGACUUAGCUUGAUUCGUGGGCGAUUUGUCGAUGAAGAUGUAGCGCUCGUUGAUGGAGCCGCGAUGGUUUGUUGAUGAAGCCUGACUAGUCAGAGUCGAUUCUGACUAGUUAUUGACAGUGUGAGGCCCGCUCCCGACUAGUUUUGAAGUCGAGACGAGUAGUCGAAGAAGUCGUCGGUGGGUCAGUGAGCGUCUUCGCGAAGUCGAAGUAGUUGUAGCAUGAUCCUUGCUUGUAGCUUCCAUGUAGUAGUCGGAGCAAUCGUCUCCGAUCUUGAGCAGGCGAUUCAAGUCCUCUUCCAAUGCGGAGAGGGUCUCAAAUCCCAUGGCCUUCUGGUAAACAGUGGCCGUGUUGCAUAGCUCGAACGGUAAUCAGGUACGUAGAUCCUUAGACCGAAUCAGAUCCGAUCUGAGGAGACCUGGUGCGGCACAAGUUGAAAUCGCAUUGAAAACAGACUCCUUCUCGAUCUCCUUGGCGAGAUCAGGGAGCAGCGUCUCGUCGAGGUUAUCAAUGAACUCGUCAAGACUGCUAUGUUGGCUUGCCACAGAUGCCUCCGGCUUUAGUCAUCGAUGAGGCGCCGGCGAAAGCUCCACGAGCCGAAGAUGAAAGUUUUGCCCUCGUCGAGCAUCGCUGGUGAAGUUGAAAGAUGGCAUCGAGUUCAUCGGUGGAUACUCGAUGAACACCCCUACCUAGCACACCAGCUAUCGAUGUUUAACCUCCAAGCCCACCGAGGGAUAACCGAGGUGGUAGACUGUAAGUGGGGUGUCGCCGAGACCAGAAACUCGAAGGUGCAAGGAACACGAAAGUUUAGACAGGUUUGGGCUGCAGUAUGCGUAAUACUCUACAUCCUGUGUGGUGAUUUGUAUUGCCUUAGAUGUGGAUUGUUGGUUGAUGCUUUGGAGGAGUUACUACCCGCCCUUAUAUAGUCUGGGGGGACAGGGUUACAUGAAAAUCCUAACCCGAUACUAGCUUAAGAGUCCUACCCGAGUACUACUCGGGUAGUUUUCUUCUGCUCCGACUAGUCUUUCUCUGGUACGAGUAGUUACAAUUGGUGUAGGGUGUGGGCCAUGUCCCAUCCCUUAUUCUAGAAUAUGUACGCCAUGUUUGCAGCCCCAUGGUUCCGGGUCUGACAGGGACUUUUAGUCCCCGUUGGUGGCUCCAACCGGGACUAAAGGUCCCCCGCCCCUAGCCGUUGGAUCCGGGACUAAUGCUUUCAUCAAUUCCAGGACCAACCCCAGCCGGGGCUAAAGAGGUGGAUGAAAGGUCUAAGGUGGUCAACCAACGCAUCUUUAUCAAGCCUUUCUACUCUCCCAAUCCUAGCUUUUUUUUAUGGUUCAAUCAACAAUUAUUUAAGUGAUGCAACAUUUUUUCACUAUGAUAGGUUCAUUCCAACAAAUUUCUUUUCUUCACUGUUUAUCUUACCAACUCACAACAUUUUCUUACUCAACAUUUCUGUUGUCUAGUCUCAACUGUUCAUGGUUCAGCACAACCUCUUCUUUUUUUAUAAAAAGUUAAUUCCAAGUAUUUUCCAUUUUCAACAAAUUUUCAGACUCAAUAUUUUUGUUCUGCUUUAUCUUCAACAUUUUACUAGCAACAUUAUUUGAGUGAUGCAACAUAUAUUUUUCACUAUAGAUUAUAGAAGGUUCAUUCCAACUAUUUUCCUUUCUUCAACAUUUUUUCUUGCCAUCUCGCAAUAUUUCUUUACUUAAAAUUUAUAUUGUUCGGUCCCAACUUUUUGGUUCAGCCAAACUUUUUCUUUCUAAUAAAUAGUUCAUUCCAAGUAUUUUCCAUUUUCAACAAUUUGGCUUAUUGAACUUGCUAACUUUAUAUUCUUUUAUUCUACAUACUAAAGUAUUCGUUUAUUAAAUAUUUUAUUAUUUAUUUGCCAUUCAACCAACAAUCUUUUUAGCCAUGCCACACUUCUUCAACAAUUUUCUUACCACGCUGACCUAACAUUCUUCUCUGUACAUUAUAUGUUUCUUCGAGAUAUUCUUACUCAACAGUUUUUACUUGUCCAGUCCCAUCCUUUUCUUUUAUCAUUCGGAUAACAGUUCUUUUACUGAUGCAACAUUUUCUCCCAUACAAAAUGUUGAUUCGGUAUGUUCCCCCUUUUUCCUACAUUAUGUUGUCCAUCAUUAUUUUUGAAAUUCUAGUUCAGCAUUUUAAGCUAAGUUUUCAUUUGUAAAUAUACUAAGUUUAGUUAACCAAUAAAAUACUAGGGAAAUUCAAGUCAGAUAUGGAAAUAUAUAACAACUUAUAUAUUGAUCCAUGCUUUACAUAGAUGGCAAGUUAUUACACAUUUAUUCAUUAUUUUGCUAUUUUCAGGAAUAUGGAAGGUCCUUGACCAUCCGAAAAGAAAAUAAUGGGCUCAUUCCAAAAAAUUGGAUGACUUUUUAAUGAAUAAAAUUAACCUCUUGAUCUGUCAUAACUGUCCAUUUGCAUCUUCGUACUAUUACCAGCACAACUCUAAUAAUGGAUGGCAUGUAGUGACAAAAUUGAUAUGGGGAGUAUAUGAUGUGAUGAGAAGAAUUUGUUGAUGUAAUAUUGCAACAUGUUCAUUUAGCACUUUUUUGCAUCAACAAAUAAAUAAGACUUGCUUUUACAAUGGAAAAUAUGGCAUUUUGGCUACUGGCUUUGAGCACCCCAGCAUAAAUUGCUAAUUCUCGAUUGCAAACAAUUGAUGAGCCCACCAGGCAACAUAGAAAAAGGAAUCUGGCUGUCAAAGAAGAAUAAGUUAAAGAGUUCGGCAGCCUGCAGACUCAUUCACGAGAAGCCUAAAAGAAACAUAAAGGGCCCAACAAAAGAAGCCUGAGUGGGAAGGAAAGAAACGAGCCCACGAAAAAAAAGAAGCCUGCGACGGAUGAAUUUAAAAAGCCCGCACCAACUCGCAUUCGUCCCAAAAUAAAUACAACUCUCGCUUUCCGAGAAGUCAAACAACUCUUGUCUUUUUCGGAUGGAGGAAGUAGUAGUUUUGAUGCAAUGGAAGAGGUCGACCACUAGACAAUAGGAAGCCUCAAAUCAGCUAUGCCAAGGUUUAAAUGGAAAGAUACAAUGAAAUUUAUCGAUUUUAAUAAUUAAAUUUAGGGAGUUGCUGCCUAUCAUCCUAAUGAUUUCAUAUCUAGUUAUUAAUCACUUUUUUAUCCAAUAGAAUCUAGACACAUCAUCAAUAAAACAAAUAUGGAAAAGUGAUUGAUAACCACUAAUAUCACUCAAAAACACAAGGUAGGACACCAAUGGAAAACCAAGUGAUAAAAAAAGGAAAUUACUAAGAUUUCCUCAAACACGAGAAACAGAAAAUAGAGAACCACAUCUCCCAUGUUAUCCUGCCUGCACUCCGAACAACCCUUCUCCACACUCCACGAGCGAGUACACAACUAGGCGCUUGGCAGUGAAGAAGCUAUGAAAGGCAAUCGUUGGGAAACACCCUGCCAAAGGCAAAGUAAAGAUUGAACAAAAAUGCAAGGCUGGCAGAAUUAGAAGAAUAUCGAGCAGAAAAAAAGGUACUCACCUAUGAAAAACUUGAUCUCUUUGUAAUGAAUUUUCUUAAGAAACAUAUCUGAGCAAAAGGAGAUAUCCAGAUUUUCCACUUCAUCCAGCGUACAUCUCUGUGUUUUUGAUAUGCAAGCACUAAGAACUCUGAAAAUGAAAACUAACUAAAAAUGAAUUGGCAUACAGGGCUAGAACUAUCAUAUAGUAGUAGUGGCUUGUUUCUUGAAACAAAAAUUUCAAAAUAGAAAAUUAGAAUUGAAAUAUACAUUGGUUAACUGAACCAAUUUUGUGUUGAUCUAUUAACGGUCUGGUUCUUGAGUUGGCAGUCCAUGAUUUGUUAGUGACGAAACACACAUGAGAAAAAAUAAAAAGGAUGAGAAUAGUACGCUCACGUAUAUAUUGAUGGAAAAAAAUAAAAGUUUCAGUUUUAAAUUAAUCCGAAGAUAAAUCAUGACCAUGACGAAAAUUGCGUAAAGAAAACGAACAUAUGUAAACUUGCUGAUCAAGUGAUUUAAGAUAAAACAUUGCAGCAGUAAGAUCAACCCUAACCAGAUCAUACUAGGUAUGAAAGACAUAGUUAGGGACAGAAAACCGUACGUCUCUAGACGCACCGGAAUAACCGGGUAAAGAAGACGACGGCGACGAUCAGCACCUCCGCGCGCUUGACGACGCCGAGUCGCGCCCCACUAACGAGGAGGAAGACAAGCCGUGGCGACAAGGAUGUAGAGGAUGGUGAUGUGGAAGCGUUCGAGCAGUCACGCAGAGCGCUUCCCAAAAAUCUUAUUCGCCCUCUCCCGGUGCAGGAUCGCUGAGGACGAGGUUCCGGAGACCUGCUCUCCCGAUCGCCGGUGCACGCCGACGAACGGGAUGAAGUAGCGUACGCGGCGGCGCAGCAGGCAGGUCGAGGCGUGUUGUGCGUCUUCUGUUGUGUUCUGUUUCUAGCCGGCACCCGUGCGUAUUUAUAGAAAGGAACCGCUAGGGUUUUUAGCAUCCCAAAAACCAAGUCGAUUACGAGUCCCAAAAAUUCCGCGUGUGUAAUCCGUAAUAGAUUCAAAGUGGCAAAACAAAUCUGCAAAAGGAAGCCGCGUUCCCGCAACAAUUGGACCGGAUUUUGGUGGACCAUUCACGCGCACGUUGCGUGCGCGCGCCCUUCGCCUGGCGAGGCGAGGCGAGCGAGCGCGCGCGUGUGUUCUUCCUUCUUCCUCUCACCCACACUUGUAAGAGCAUGGAGUGCAUCCAACUAUUUAAGUUGGAUUUUCUCCACCUCCACUAGCAAGGUGGGACUAACUUGUUGCCAUGCACCUUUACACUAAUGGGCCUUUGAGAUUUUAUUGGAAUUAUUUGAAUUUAUAUGGUGAGCCUUUAGGGCCCAAAUAUUCCAAUAAUCCCCCACCAGAUCUCAAAGUCUCAUCAUGACUUUGCCUCAACCCACUGUUGUUUGAUAUACCAUUAUUUCAAUGGAGACUGUUAAGUUGAACUUCCAUCUAGAACAGCAAGUUACACUCAUUCACAACUUGAACAAUGGACUAAGCCUUGAAUUGCAAGUUUUGUACGUGUGAGUUUCACUUACAGUCAAACUGAUACUUGACCUCCAGUAGGCGACUUCGCGGUUGGAGCAUAUAGGUCAUACUCUCUUAUCUCUUCAUGAGCUUAAUAGAGAUCAUCUGAAUCUCACAGACUGCGACCGUCCAACAGUCGGGCUCGUAUAGGUGUAUUCUUUCAAGAACAUUCUGCAAGAUAACGUCUUUGCUAAUUAAAGCUAACAGAAUACAUUAAGGCCAAUGCCAACCUGCCAUGUAGUAAUCGAGAGUAUUGCAUCAUUCUCGAGUGAGUUAAAAGGUUACUCUCAUGCUAACCUCUAGCUUGUUCUUCCCUAAUCCUAAUUCACAGGAUCUCCGAUCAUAUAGGUUGGGUUACCACUAGGGAAUAGCUUAUACGGGUCUCAAACCCAUCUCCUUAGAUGCAUUGACUAUCACAUUGCGUGACAGCCCCUUGGUGAACGGAUCAGCCAGAUUUUUCUCAGUGUGGACAUAACCCACAGUAAUAACUCCGGAGUUUCUCAUUUUUCUGACUGAUUUUAACCAUCUCUUGAUAUGUCUUGAAGACUUUAUAUUAUCUUUUGAACUGUCUACCUUGACAAUCACCGUUUGAUUGUCACAGUCCAUCAAGAGCUCACGAAGCCAAUCGGCUUCCACUGUAGCUGUAUCUAGUGCUGUUAGUUCUGCCUCCAUAGUAGACCUCGUCAGGAUAUCUGUUUGCAUGAUCUCUAUGAAAUAGCAGCACCGCCAAGAGUGAAAAUGAAUCCACUAGUGGCAUACAACUCAUCUAGAUCCGAUAUCCAAUUAGCAUCACUGUAUCCUUCUAGUACUGCAGGAAAGCCGGAAUAAUGAAUCCCGUAUUCUAUAGUACCCACCAAGUAGCGCAUUAUGCGCUCAAGCGCACGCCAAUGAUCAUCUCCCAGAUUACUAGUAAACCGGCUCAACUUGUUUACAGCAAAAGAGAUGUCAGGCCUUAUUGCACUCGCAAGAUACAUGAGUGAGCCAAUCAUCUAUGAAUGUCUCAAUUGGUCUCUGCCAAUUCUUCUGUUCUUUCAAAGGAUCAAGCUCGGAUCAUAAGGAGUUGGAGUAGAUUUUCUAUCCUUAUAGCCAAAGCGAUUCAACAUUUUCUCCAUAUAAUGGGAUUGCCAAAGAGUAAUCCUAUUCUCUUCCUUGGUCAGCUUGAUGUUAAGAAUAACAUCAGCCUCACCAAGAUCUUUCAUCUCAAAGUUUUAACACAAGAAUGUCUUGACCUCAUUGAUUACAUCAAGACUAGUGCCAAAGAUCAGUAUGUCAUCGACAUACAAACACAAUAUAACUCCUUGGCCCUCACCAUAGCGGUAAUACACACAUCGAUCAGCCUUAUUGACACUAAAGCAUGCUGAUAUGAGUGUCAAGUUGAAUUUCUCAUGCCAUUGCUUAGGUGCUUGCUUCAGGCCAUACAAAGAUUUAUACAACUUGCACACCUUGUCCUCAUGACCCUCUACUACAAACCCAUCAGGCUAUGUCAUGUAGAUUUCAUCUUCCAGCUCUCCGUUGAGGAAAGAUGUCUUAGCAUCCAUCAGGCAGCCAGGGAGAGUAGAACACGAAUAGUGGUCAAUCUCGCAACAGGUGAGUAAGUAUCAAGGAAAUCUUCGCCUUCUUUCUAGGUGUAACCCUUAGCCACAAGAUGAGCCUUGCACUUAUCAAUAGUACCAUCAGGCUUAAGCUUCUUCUUGAACACCCACUUGCAACUCACAAGUUUGCAACCAUAUGGUCUUUCGACCAGCUCUCAAGUUCCAUUGGAGAGAAUGAAGUCCAUCUCGCUACGGACAGCUUCUUUCCAAUCAUCCGCAUCAGGAGAUGAGAAUGCCUCAGUGAUUAUUUUGGGAGAAUCAUCUAUGAGAUAAACAGUGAAAUCAUCAAGAAAAGACUUUGCAGUCUUUUGCCUUUUGCUCCUCCUAGGAGCAUCACUGUGAAUCUCCUCAUGAUUUGAUUCAAGUGUGUAUUCAUCAUGCUCAGAAAAUUUAACAGAUUCAGGAGUUGUAUUCAUUGUUUCAUUCAGAGGUAAUAAAGAUAUAACAUGCAAGUCUUUCAUAGGAAAAAUAUUCUUAAAAAAAGUAGCAUCACGAGACUCGAAUAGUGAAUUUACAUGCAUAUCAGGCACCUCAGAUUUAACUACUAGAAAUCUAUAAGCAAUGUUAAGAUGUGCAUAACCCAAAAAGAUACAAUCCACAGUUUUAGAUCCCAACUUGUGCUUCUUGUUGAUUGGCAUAUUCACCUUGGCCAAAUAACCCCAUGUGCGCAAGUAAGAGAGUGAAGGUCUUCUCCCAAUCCACUCCUCGUAAGGAGUCUUUUCCUUAUUCUUUAUGGGAACUUUAUUCAGGAUAUGACAUGCAGCCAAUACUGUCUCCCCACACCAUGCCUUAGAUAAUCCAGCGGUGUUUAAUAUGGCGUUAACCAAGUCAGACAAUGUGCGAUUCUUCCUUUCAGCAAUCCUGUUUGAUUGGUGUGAAUAGGGAGGCGUCCUUUCAUGAAUAAUGCCGUGUUCCGCACAGAAUAAGUCAAAAUCGUUAGAGAAAUAUUCACCUACUCGAUCGGACCUAAGUCGUCUGAUCUUUUUCUCAAGUUGGGUUUCUACUUCAGCCUUAUAGAUUUUAAAGCAGUUAAGAGUCUCAUCUUUCGUUUUCAACAAGUACAUAUAGUAAAAUCUAGUUGCAUCGUCAAUCAAGGUCAUGAAAUAUCUUUUUCCACUUUCUGUUAACACGCCAUUUAUCUCAUAGAUAUCUGAAUGGACGAGUUCUAGAGGUGCCAAAUGUCUCUCCUCUGCCACCUUGUGAGGUUUUCGAGGUUGCUUAGAUUGCACACAACUAUAACACUUAGAACCUUUGAGUAUAGAAAAAUUUGGAAUUAAACUCAUGGUGGAAAGUCGAAACAUAGAGCCAAAAUUCAGAUGACAUAAACGCGAGUGUCAAACAGAUGCAUCGCUCUCAUUUAUACCAUCAGAAAUUAAGUUCGCGGACUUAUUACAAUAAUCUGUAACUGAAAAAUGGAACAAGCCUCCGCACUCAUAGACUUUACCGAUAAAUUGUCCACACUUAGACACGGCAAAUUUAUUGAACUCAAUCACUACUUUAAACCAUCCCUACACAAAAGGGAGCCACUAACUAGAUUCUUGCCGAUAGUAGGGACAUGCUGCACGUUUUUCAGCUGCACGAUCUUUCCCAAGUAAGCUUCAGAUCGACCGUGCCAACACCACGAACAGUAGCAUGCAACCCAUUGCACAUAAUCAUGGUAGAAUCCCGAGCAGUCUGGUAAGAAGAAAAUAAGGUAGCAUCAGAACGCACAUGAACAUUUGCACCAGUAUCAAGCCACCAACUAAUACAUUGAAAUACUGAAAAAAUGAAGGUAAAGAAUUAUACCCACUGAUUUUUACUCCAGCCAUGGUGACCGUGUUCGCAGUCUUCUGCUCAGGUGAAGGCUUUCUUUCUUUGCGGUGUGGACCCUUCUUUGCCCAAUGAUCGGUAGAUCCACACACAAAACAGCCUUUACCUUCCUUGAAUUUCUUUUUCUUGAAAGUAGUGGUAGGCUGCCACUUGGUCUUCUUUCCCUUGUCCCUGCCUUUGCCGUGAGACUUUUGCACCAUGUUGGCACUAGUCUGGCCUUCAGCAGCCUUAGAUCGCCCAUCCUUGGCCCAAGCUUUUACCUCAACAUCAAGGGAUGCUAUUAGAUCAGACACUGAUAUCUCCAUCCUUUUAUGUUUGAGAGUAGUGGCGAAAUCCCUCCAUGAAGGAGGCAAUUUGGCAAUGAUGCCACCAGCGACAAACUUGUCGGGUAGGUUGAUCUUGAGGUGCUUAAGCUCCUUGGCCAUGCACUGUAUCUCAUGAGCCUGCUCGACUACAGAUUUUCUAUCGGUCAUCUUGUAGUCAUGGUACUGCUCCAUGAUGUACAACUCAGCGCCAGCAUCUGUGCCGUCAUAGUCAGCCUCCAGGGCGUCCCAUAACUUUUUAGCAUCUGUGUGAUGGAGGUACACAUCCUGUAGAUGAUCUACGAGUGUACCGAUCACAGCGCCCACAAAAAGUGUGUUGGCCUCAGUAAAAGCCUUCUCCUGCUCAGGAGUAAGAGGCCCCUCAGGUUUGCCCUUGGACACCCACAGCACGUUCAUGGCAGAGAGCCACAGAAUCACUCUCGUUUGCCAUCUCUUAAAGUGCUCGCCAGAGAACUUCUCGGGGCUCAGAGCAUCAACAAAUUCAGCCAUGAAACUGAAAUUCCUAUAAUAAGAUUUUUGGAUUGAUGGAAAAAAAUAAGAGUUUCAGUUUUAAAUUAAUCCGAAGAUAAAUCAUGACCAUGAUGAAAAUUGCGUACAGAAAAUGAACAUAUGUAAACAUGCUGAUCAAGUGAUUUAAGAUAAAAUAUUGCAACAGCAAGAUCAACCCUAACCAGAUCAUACUAGGUAUGAAAGAUAUAGCUAGGGACAGAAAACCGUACGUCUCUGGGCUCACCGGAAUAACCGGGUAAAGAAGACGACGGUGACGAUCAGCACCUCCGCGCGCUUGAUGACGCCAAGUCACGCCCCACUAACGAGGAGGAAGACGAGCCGUGGCGAUGAGGACGUAGAGGACGGCGAUGUGGAAGCGUUCGAGCAGUCGCGCAAAGCGCUUCCCAAAAACCUUAUUCGCACUUUCCUGGUACAGGAUCGCUGAGGAUGAGGUUCCGGAGACCUGCUCUCCCGAUCACCAGUGCACACAGACGAACGGGAUGAAGUAGCGUACAUGGCGGUGCAGCAGGCAGGUCGAGGCGUGUUGUGCGUGCGGCGGAGACGGGCGGUGUGGGGAGGGUGGCGAUCUAGACGGGAGGUCGUCUUGCGGAGCCUCCGCCGCCGGCGUUCCUCCGCCUCCCCUCGCCGCCUCCCACGCUCCUACAAAUCUUACGCAUCGGGUGGCGAAGCAGCUGGAGGACUUGGUGCCUGGGUCUUCGCAACCCGACGUCGGCGGCGGGGCGGGGGUACGGCGACGAAGAAGAAAGGUUGCAUGGGCCGCCGAUAGAGACGAAGCCGCGCGACGCGUCGAGAAGCUGGCCGAGGGACGGCCCGUGCUUGCGCCUUUUCACCCUAGAUGCCGGAUCCGACGACAGAGAGAAUUUUAGGUGACGUGGCCCAAUGAAAUCGCCCGGUUUGAGCCUAGGAUUCGUGUUUUGAGAAGAUUACAUGCAUUCUGCGGAGAAAGAAGAGAGAACCAAGAGGUAUGGGCCAACAAGUUGGGCCAGCUUAGCAUUAUAUGGAUCGAAUGAGAGAGAGAGGCCCACUAGACCAACCAAAAUCGCCAAUCACGGCGUUUGCACCGCGCGCGUGGGGAUCCCGCGCCAAAACGCUGGGCCAAGGCAAGGAACAAGACUGGAAGUUGCGUCUUCGGCCAUGAGCAGGGCGUGAUGGCGUGAAGCACCAGAAAUAUUUAGAAAGCAAAGCUAUUAAUAACUAAGCACAAGACCAGCAGCGAAAUGGUACGUGCUGUGUUUUGGACGCUUCCCGCAGAUGCAUGAUUGUUUGCUAUGAGAAUAUGAGAUCAAGUGCGUGCGCUGCUAACCACAUGCCGAAGUAGGAGCACUAUGUUGUCUCUAAUUCACCGGUGAGCACAAACUCCAUCUUGCAUAUUGCUGAAGCUAGCACAAGUGUGAUGUAUGCUUGGAGUUUGCAGCCUACUGUAGCUUACAGGAGUAAAUUUUAACCAAAUGUGAUAGCUUAAUUGAUCAAUACAAUUUGUUCUUCUAUGAAAAGCAAGAAAAAACCUGGUUCUUGUAUAUUAUCGUUAUCAUAUUAUAAUUGAAAAAGUUCAAUUUACUCCCUUCAAGUAUAGCCAAAGUAUGAAUAAACCCUUAAACUAUAACUUGGUUUAAUUUACCUCCUAAACUAUACUAUUUAGUUCAUUUUAUCCUAUAAUACAAUUUGCCUUUUUUUCUCCAUACACAAGUUGAGUUCUAAUUUUAAAUUUUGCAGGGUAGUAGUGGCCAUCACAAUGCACUUAAAAGAAUGUUAUAAUUUUUUCAUCGUUAUUUUUCAUAUAAUUUUGAACUCCAAUGAUUAAUUUAUUAUUAAAUAGCCUACCUAUCAAAAAAAUUAUGACGUAUUUUUUCUAACAUGUGUUAUGAUGUGUACUAUCAUCUUGUAAAGUUUUUACUUAAAAUUGCAUCUAUGCAUGGAGAAAUGAAAAAGACAAAGGGCGUGAUUGGUUACCUGGUUAUAGCCCAACCAGGUUCGCGCGAUGCGGGCUCCCGACGAUUGGUUACCUGGUUGGGCCUCCGAACCAGGCUCGCGCGAUGCAUACCUCCCCUCCCACCCAGGUCCCCGCGAUGCAGAAAUGAAACCCGUUUUCCCCGAACCUGGUGGCGGCGAUGCGAGGGCGGGCGGGCCGAGGCAGGCGGCGGUGGUCGCGGGUGUCCAGGCGCGCGCUCCCGCCAUGGGCUAGGGUUACCGCUCCCCCCCUUUCGCGCCAUUUCCAUCCUCGCGCCAUUUCCAUCCUCGCGCGUUCGCGCGUGCGGCAAGGGCUAGGGUUUGUGCGCCGUUCGCCUCCGCUAUAAGACACCCCCGACGCCGCCCCCGCGCGCUGCCAUUUCCGCCGCUUGAGCUCCAGGUGAAUCUCUCUGCUCUCAUCCUCUUCUCUCCCUAUGGUUGCCGAGAUCUGACUUGUUUCCUCCCUAUCCUCUCUGUAGCUGUGAUUGCUGGGCGAAUCUCUGUUCGUCGAGGCAAGUAUUCCCCCCUCAAUCGCCGAGAUGUGGCGUUCCCUCUUCGAUCUAUCCCCCCCCCCUCUGUAUCUAUCUUCCCCUCUCCUUCCUUCGAUUUGUGUAAGCUAAUCCCUGUUUUGGUUGCAGCAUCGCAGAUCUGUGCUCCCUGUCUUCCCCCUUUCGAUCUGUGUGUGUGCUCUCUGCCUGGUUGCUGCAAGGUGUCUGGUACCCCUUCCUCUGCAACUGUGAUUCUUUGUGCUAGCUACUUAUCUGAGCUAUGUGCAUGUGGCCGUGAUGUUUAGUUCUAUAUGCUUGUUUACUUUUGCUACAUAUCUGAGUUAUGUGCUUGUGGAUGUGAUGUUUAAUGCUAUAUGCUUGUUUCCUAUUGCUUCUUAUCUGAGCUAUGUCCCUGUGGCUGUGAUGUUUAGAGGUAUAUGCUUCUUUGCUACUACUUAACUGAGUUAUCUAUUGUGGCUAUCUUGUUUACUGUUACUUAUCUGAGCUCUAUUCCCUUUGAGUCUUGCCUAUGAUGACUUUGGGUUUGAUUAUUUACAGUCCUAUUUAACUGAGCUAUGUGCUAUGUGUCUGUGAUGUUUAGUGCAUAAACUGAGCCGUGUGCCCUUGCCUAUGAUGCCUAUGAUGAUGAGUGCUUUAGCUGAGCAGUGUGCUGUUGUCUAUGAUGUAGAGUUACUAUACUGUGCUAAGUGUUGUUACAUGUUAUUUGCUUAUAGAUGGAUAAUGGAGAAAUGAGGCGCAAGCUUAUCAUUCAGGCUGCUGCUUUAGUAGCUGCCAUUCAUGCAUUCAUGUUUAGUCGGUUCUUGUGUGGCCAACAGUCUCGCCCUAGUAUUAGUUAUGCACCUCUUAGUGCCAUGGACGAGGAGAGGAGGAGGAACUUGAACUUGAUUUAUAACUGCAAUGAUGUGGAGUGUGUAAACAUGCUUCGCAUGAGAAGAGCACCAUUUUUUCAGCUUUGUAACCUGCUUAGAGAGAGACACCUACUUAGGGAUAGCCUACAUAGUUGUGUAGAAGAACAAGUUGCAAUGUUUCUCCAUGUUGUGGGACAUAACCAGCGAUUUAGAGUCAUCCACCAAAAUUGGAGAAGGUCUGUAGAGACUGUUAGCAGAUAUUUUAAAGAGGUUUUGUAUGCAAUUGGGGAACUAAGAGAAGAGAUGAUUAAGCCUCCCACCAAUGCUACUCCACUUAAGAUCAGGAACAGCCAUAGGUGGUAUCCAUAUUUUAAGGUAUAUAACAUAUUUAUUUACAUAUAACAAAUCAAUGGUUGUUAUCUCAACUAAUCCAAACAACAACUGAGUUUGUAGGACUGUAUUGGGGCAAUAGAUGGCACCCAUAUCCUGGCUAAGGUGCCACAAAGAAUUCAAGCUGCAUUUAGGGGAAGAAAACAUCAAACAACUCAAAAUGUACUUGCUGCAGUUGAUUUCGAUUUAAAGUUCACCUAUGUCCUAGCUGGCUGGGAGGGGUCUGCACAUGAUGCCACCAUCCUUGCUGAUGCUCUAGAGAGGCAGGAUGGGUUAGUUGUCCCACAAGGUAUAAUAUGAAGUCAUAUUAAUUAAAAUGACACAACUAAUACAAUAGUACUAAUACUUAUAUUAUUUUUAGGUAAAUUCUAUCUAGUUGAUGCUGGUUAUGCAUGCCGCCCUGGAUUUCUUCCUCCCUUCAGAGGCACUAGGUACCAUCUCAAUGAAUAUGGUGGUAGAAACUAUCCAACCAAUGCAAGCGAAUUGUUCAACCUCAAGCAUUCAAGCUUAAGAGUCACAGUUGAGAGGGCUUUUGGGGCAAUAAAAAAUAGGUUUAGGAUCCUGGACAACAAACCCUUUCACCCCUUCAAGACACAAGUGAAAUUGGUGCUAGCAUGCUGCAUUUUACAUAAUUGGAUCCUGAACUAUGGUGUAGAUGAAGUGGUUCCCCUUGAGGAGGCUUGGGCUCCUAAUAGCAUUGGUUCCAAUGUUGGUGGUGUUCAAGUAGAAGAUAAUAGUGACUGGGCAUCUAUUAGGGAUGAAAUAGCUAAUCUCAUGUGGGCUAACAGGGGGCACUGUCAUAUAUGAAGACAUGGAUUUGUGUUGUAUGUGUACUGUAAUAACACUGCUAUGGUGUUUAUUAUUUGUAUCUUUUCUGAGGCAAUGGCACAUUGCUAUAAUGUUGUUUGUACUUUGUUCUGAGGCAAUGGCACACUGCCAUGAUGUUUCAUUUUUACUUGUUUUGAGGCAAUGGCACACUGCUAUGGUGUUUCUUUUUUACUUGUUCUGAGGCAAUUAGCACACUGCUAUGAUGUUGUUUCUUUUUACUUGUUCUGAGGUAAUUGGCAGACUGUUGUGAUGUCUUUUUUCUGUACAUCUUCUAAGCCACAUGCAGACUACUAUGAUGCUGGUUUUUUUACAUGAUUCUAGCCACAGGGACACUGCUGUGAUGUUUAUACAUGAUUUUGUAUAUGAUCUGAGCCACAUGCACACUGCUAUGAUGUUGUUUUUUACAAUAACUGAGGCAAUAUAUAUAUGCUAUGAUGUUGUUUUGUUUAUAAUAACUGAGGCAAUAGAAAUAUGCUAUGAUGUUGUUUUGUUUAUAAUAACUGAGGCAAUAGAUAUAUGCUAUGAUGUUGUUUUGUUUAUAAUAACUGAGGCAAUAGAUAUAUGCUAUGAUGUUUGUCUUAUAUACUGUUGUCAAAUAUUGGUACUAGGGCAUGGAUGUUCAAGAGGAAAGAGAGUUUAUGGAGCUGUAUGGUAGCUAUUCCAAUGCCCUAGUUGUUGCUAAUUCUGCUCCUAAUCCUUCUGGUGGUCCUGCCCCUCCUCCUGCUGUUGUUGCCCCUGCUGUUGCUGCUGUUGCCCCUCCUCCUCGUGCUGCCCCUCGAGCCAGGCAGCAAAGGAAUUCUAUGAGGUGGACUAGUGUCACAUCCUCCUUUAUCUUGCGCCGGUUCUGUGAACUCAUUUCCACUGGGGUUAGAACAGAUAAGGGGUUCAAGGAGGUUCACUUGAACAAAGUUGCUAGGGACCUUCAGGAGUUCACAGGGAACAAUGUAACCUCUACUCAAGUGUAUAACCACUUGCGCACAUGGAGGAAAAAAUGGAUGAAAGUGACCAAGCUGAGAGAGCUUAGUGGAGCUUUAUGGGAUGAGGAGACCUUCAUGAUUUCCUUGGAGGAUGAGCACUAUAAUGGUCAUGUAAAGGUGUUAGCCAUAGUGCAUAUCAUUUUCACCUUCUUCUCUUAAAUAUUAGCUAAUUUCUAAAAUUGCAUUGCAUUUUAGGCUCACCCUGAAGAUGCUGACCUUCUGAACAAGCCAAUAGAGAACUACCAGCAAAUGGAGAUCAUAUUUGACAAUGGCUGUGCCACAGGCAAGUUUGCCAUGGGUUCUAGCCAGCCUUUGGGUUCUCCAUCUGACUGGGCUGAGAGUUCUCAAAAAAUUGAUGAGCCUGCCAAAGAGUUUGAGGAGGUAGCUAAGCAGGAUGCUGGGGGCAGUAGCAGCAAGCACCAGGAGGCUAGUAGCAAGCAGCAAGAGCCUAAUGGCAGUGGAGUGGGCAGCAAGAGGAAGAGGGCAAUGCUCUCUGAUGAGGAUAUCACUGUCCUGUCUGGGAUGACAACUGCUGUGAACAAUGUGGCUGAUGCUAUCAGAGAAACAAAGACUGAAGUUGUCCCUGCUGACCUCUACUCUGCUGUGAUGUUUGUCCCUGGCUUCACUGAUGAAGCUCUGAUUGUGGCCUACUCCCAUCUGGCAGACAACAAUGCUCUUGGGGCUGCAUACCUGCUAAUGUCUGAUGCUCAUCGUGUGCUGUGGCUGAGGACCUUCUUAGCUAAGCACUACUACAACAACAACAACUAGUAUCUGAUAGUUUUCUUAUUGCUGGUUGAUCCUUUGUCCAGUAGGACCUCCUUUUGCUAACCUAUUUUGUGCAGAGGUACUAACCCUGCAUUCUUUUGUGCAGCUGGUCACAUCUUUCCAUUUCUUCUAUGUGGUUGAUGUGAUCCUGCUAUAACUAGAUAGAGACUCAUAUAUAUAGUAACAAGUCUCUAUCCUCUUACUAUGAUGUAGUGAAUGUAUUGGAUCAACCACUUUGAUGUUGGAGUCUAAUCUGAGCAUAUAUCUAUUGCCAAUGAUGUAUUGUUAUUCGAGUUAUGCUAUUGUAUUGAACUAUACCUAAACUGAGCAUCUAUCUAUUGCCAAUGAUGUUAUUAUUUUGUUGAUGCUACACAUUCUGAGGUGUAUAGCUAUUGCCAAUGAUGUUCUAUGAUGUACUUCAUACUUCUUUUCUUCUAUUUUCCUAUCUGUCACCUGCUAAUUGAUUCAUUCUUUGUCAUGUGAGGUUGCUGGAUCCUCACUCUCAACUGAGGCUGAUGGCAUCUGCUAUGAUGAUGAGUUUGCUAUUUUUGUUGCCCUACUAUGUAAAGGCAUGCUCUACUCUUGUGCUUACUUAUCUGUUGAUUGAAUCCUCACUGUAAAUUGAGGCUGAUGGCAUAAUGCUAUGAUGAUGGAUGCUUUUCUGUUGUGUUCUCUUGUCUUCACCCGUGGUCUGUUGUGUUUUGCUGGACAAUGCUUCUAUAUGUGGUCUGAUUGGUUACCUGGUUACUCAAUUUCACAGUUCCUAUUCCUAUUGAUUUUAACUCAAUAUGUUUAAGUCUGAGCACAUGCCAUCAGCCAAUGAUGCUUCUUUUAUACAUAUUGCUCCCCAGUGUGUGUAAUGGACAUUUUUUUUACUAAAUUUCUCAGAUUCAGCUUGUCAUUAAUUAACUGAUUUGGGCACCUAGUUAUUUCUUCUCAGUUAUUGUUGAUUUUAACUGAAUAUAACUAAGACCCAGCAUAUGCCAUCAGCCAAUGAUGCCUCUGUGAUACAAAUUGCUUCCAGUGUGUGUGCGCUAUGGUGGUAACCUCACCACUGCCUGAUUGUGAUCAUGGUGUUCAACCUUGUGUGCUUCGGGUGCUGGUAACCUCACCAUCACCUGGUUCUGGUGAUGGGAUUUACGUGCGAUGCAGGCAACCAAUCACCGUUCUUGCAUCUAGUUUUUUGAAUCUGGGAUGCAACCAGGUAACCAAUCAUCGUCUCUGCUCAUCCAGUUCGGUGGGAACCAGGCAACCAAUCAACCCAGGUUGCAUGCCUUAAACCUGGUUGAAAGGAACCUGGUUCCUUGGUGCCACCCAGGCUAGUGGCAACCAGGUAACCAAUCACGCCCAAAUUAUAUUAAGGGGUAAUUUGAACCAAAGGGUAUAGUUUGGGUGGUAAAAUGAACCAAACGAUAGUUUAGGGGAUUAACCAAACUUUGGCUAUAGUUGAAGGGAGUGAUUUGGACUUUUUCCUAUUAUAAUUAAGGGAAAAGUCCGGUUUACAACUCAAAUUAUCGCAAAAAUCCGAUUUUCAACCUUCAACUACAAAACCGGAUAACAUAAGCCAUCCAACUAUCAAAAAUAUGCAAAAUUGUCCCUUUGGGUGGUUUCAAAGAUGGUUUUCCAUUUUGUGAAAAUUAAAAAUAUAUAAUUUUAAACUAAAAAAUCAUAAGUAAUUCAUUUUAAACAUAAAAAAUGAAAUGGAUAUCAAAAACUUUCUAAAAAUGUAACUUAUCUAUUAACACUCUACUUGUCGGUUAUUCGGAUCCAAUUUUUUUAUGUUCAUAGUACUUGGUUGCUUGUAGUUAUGCCUAUUAUUUUUGAAUAAAUAAGUUUCAAAUAGAGAAAUAAUAGAUAUUUUACAUUUUUAGAAAAAUUUUGAUACUAGUUUCAUAUUUUUCUAAUUUAAAAUGGAUUAGUUUUGAUUUUUUUAGAUCUAAUUAGAAUUUUUUAAAUUUUUCUAAAAUAUAAAACCACCUUUGAAACCACCUAAAGAGCCAAAUUUGCACGGUUUCGAUAGUUGGAUGGCAUAUGUCACUUGAUUUUGUAGUUGAAGGUUGAAAAUCAGACUUUUGUGAUAGUUCGAGGGUGUAAACCGAACUUUUCCCUAUAAUUAAACAACUUAGUUGAAAACUCGAAAUGCACUAUAUACCUUGUUGGGGAUAUGCCUUUGGAAGCCAAAGGCUAGGAAUCCCCAUAUGUUUAAAAGAGGCUAAAUCAGAGGGUUAUGGACUUAUUUCCAAACUUCUAGGGUCUAUUUAUAAAGAUUGAUGACCUUUUUAUAAUAUCUAACCCCACUAAUGGACUAAACAUAAACAGACACUCCUCCUAAAGCCUGGGGCUUGGGGAAGAGGACUCUUGACCAUUUGUUCAUUUGCUCCCUUGUUCUCUCUUCCUUAUCUCUCUCCUAUUCGAUCGAGGUCCCAACCCCAACAUACCUAGCAUUGAUGUAUGAGUAUAACCAAAAGAAAAGCAUGUCACUUUCGCCUAACCUUGAAUUUCAUCUCGGCUGUAUCCUAACUUAUAGUAUUUAUUUUAUUUGUUUGUGUUGUACUGCCACCACAUUGCUUUGUUUCAUAUAGAUUUUGUUCUCCAUGCAUCCAUUCUCAUUUUUGCUAUGCUACUCCGCCUAAAUAACAUGGAAGGCACCAUUCAGUGUCGCCUCCCUAAUGCUGUGAUCUUGAGCUCCCCAUUUCAAGCGAUGUGCAGCAACAAUAUCUUGUUGUACGGUUUCACUUCCAUUUCCAGCUCUAUAGAUACUCACCGGCAAUCCUUGCCAAUGCCAGAGUUUUGGUUCCACCCUCAACAAUCUAUGAGCUAGAUGUUGCUCUAUCGUCCAGCUGAGUUCGCGAUCUCGAGCUAAGAGGCGGAGGCCUAAGCCUAGUGUAUGCGUGUAGCAAUGCAUAUCCUCCCAUACCAAUUCUUGUCUUCAUCGAUGCUAGUGGUCAUGUUGAAGACAAUAAGGGCAAAAGAGAGACGGAAAAUUAUAAGAACCCGCUAUUUAUGUGCCAUAUAUUUAAGAGGGUUGGUUCAAGAUAUAAAUUGUUAGUGCCAAAGCAUUUAUAGUGUGGUAGCUAAUUUUUUUUUCUCCAUGACAUUAAACAGCAUGAUUUUGUCCACGGGACAUCAUUUUGUUUGAAGUUGAUCCUAAGACACUGCAAAAUCGUGGUUUUGUUGGUCGAACACCAGAGGAGGGGCAAGACCAUUAUGCUCAGUUACACACAUCUUUAAAAUAUCUACAUACAUAAUAUAAUUAAAAUACUAUUAUAUUUGUAAACUGGUAUAUGGUAUUGUUUGGAAGAAGAAACCUCUAUCUUCUACCGACUAAAAACUCAAAACCCUUGAACUCUGACACAGCAGACCCUAUAGCAUCGCACUAUACCACCUGAUUUGGCGCAUCAUCACUACCCCAAGUAGGACUGCACCCCUCACACAAGCCAGCCGCCACCGUUACCUAGGCUAGGUAUUUUAACCAUCCCUGAAAUUCAUUUCCACCAAGAGUCGAACCCUAACACUAGAGGUGCUACUCAAGAAUCACCGAGUCACAGCCUCUAAGCUAUGAACCCGUUUGCAUAUAAUAUAAUCUAUAUCAUGAAAUUAGGCAAAAUGAUGGAAUGCUCUACUCCCCACUGCCCUUACGUGUAGUUUUUUCAUGCUUUGUAUGGAGAUUUUGUAAAAUGAAGAUAAGGACAUGAUGGUUUUUCCUUCCUCCUAUAGCCUACUAAUGAAAAGCAUGAUUUCGCUAUGUCCUCAGGCUAAUUUCCAACAAUCAGGCUAAUUUCCAACAAUCAGUGUCCUAUAGGCAAAGCAAUAUUCUUUUUGUGUACUGGACAUAAAUAUGCCCAAAUCAAACUAUGAUUUCAAAUAUGGACUUACUCCUGGGAUUGGAUUGACAUCCACGAUCCAAUCAGCGAUGUCCAACUAAAAUCCUACUGAUAUAACGUUCGCACCCAGCCCAAUCCUAAAUAUAUUAACUACUAUCCAAUCCAGUCCAAUCCACCACCACCAAAAUCCAUAUCCAUCCAACCGGUGUCCAUCCUAAAUAUAUAUACUAAUAGAAGUAUGUUGAGCGGCCUAGCUUGCUUCCGCUAUCAGCUUUUCAAACAAGCAAGGUCCACAGGCAGCCAAAGUGAAAGGUGUUCCAAGUUAUUAAAAAGUACUUCUAACCUACACAAGUGACUGGUAUUCUAGACCAUUAUAAAGGAAAAUAGUUUAGCAACAUCUCAGUACAAAAUACCCUCUCAUGGUAGACAUGUCCAGAAUAGUGCAUAGCAUAAGAAAUGCCAUGAGGCCAAAGAAUCUCUCAAGAAUACAAGCCAAACAUAAAUCAGUUAUAGAUUGAGCUAAACCUAACUAAAGAAGAAUAGCCUCUAAUCAUAAAUUAAACUUGUAGGUGGCAUAGACCAUUUCUGUCCACUUGCUAGGCUAAAAACCCAAGAAUGUUCUGCCAGGCUGAAUCCAAAACUUGCAAAAUCUUGAAAAGGAGCGGUAACUCAUCACUUAAUCCAUCACUAUCCCUGCACCAAAUUACAUGGAUGAGACUUAUAGAUUGAUAAUAAACAAAUACUUAUUAUUUAGAGAAUACUCAUCACAUGGAUAACAACCUAUCUAAAGAAGUAAACAUUAAGAAACGCAAGCAUUUUUUAUCAAACUCCAUUACUCAAGCUCCAGAAAUAUUUAGCUAGAUGGACUAGUAUUAAAUAGUACAAACACCAAAACACCAAAAUAGAUAACUAGUAUUCUUCAGAGUACUAAUCAAGAACAAGAGUAACAGUACAUGCAACUAAAAUGGUCCAGAUAUGACACAAAAAUUAGAUGACUAGUAUUCUUCAGAGUACUAACAAGCACUAUGUUUUCAAGACCUAUCAUUAACCAAGAGAAUAGCAACUGAAAUUCAAAUUUGCACAAGAAAAUAUGUUACCAUCGUCAUCUUCAUCAUCUAAAGAGUACCCUUUAAGCAAAUCUUUUGCAUAUAUUAGUGCUUCCACCGUCUCUGAACUUAGAGAACUACGGUAUUUGUUAAUUACCAUGCCUGCAGUACUGAAUAUUGAUUCAGAGGCAACAGUUAAUAAUGGAAUAGCCAAAAAGUCAGGAGCCAUCUUUGCAAAUACAGGAUAUUGAUCCUGGUUUCUUUUCCACCAUUUUAGCACGUCAAAUUCUUCACUCUCCCUUAAAGGAACCAAUGAAUCAUCUAGAUAAGUAUCAGGUUCCGACCUUCUUGAGCGAUGAGGUCUGUUUCUCUGCUUGAACAAAGCAAAUUCCAGCCCUAGCUUAUGUUUUCCAGACACCAAAGACAACGUACUUGCAGAACCACUGACUUCAGGAGAUGAUGAAAUGUUACUUUGGAACUCCUUUGCUGCAUGUUUUCGUAAUGAGAAUAAUAUGCUUUAAACCAGAUAAGAGCAUAGUUUGCUUUUCUAUCAGCUACUUCCUCUCCAUACAUUCUCAUGAGACGGUACUUCAAAAAGGUUAAUUUGUACCGUGGGUCCAGCAAAGAUGCUACCAAAAGGAUUUUGCUAGGUUCAACCCAGUAUUUAUCAAACUUUGACUUCAUAUCAUUACACAACACCUUCAAAAAAUUAUCACUUCUAUUUUUUUAUCAAGAAGCAGUUCCCUUAUCCCCCAAACCUCUUCAACAUACCUGUGAGCACUUGGAGUUUUAUCUAGAGUUUUUUGUCAUUAGAUGUGGCAUAUGUCAAAAGGCAUAUGUGUCCAAAGAGUUUCUCUUAGCUUUUUCACAGCUCUAUCAUUAGAUGUGGCAUUAUCUAGAGUAAAAGAAAAUGCUUUAUUGGACAGAUCCCACUCAUAAAGGCAGUCCAUUAUAGUACUAUGUAUUGCAGCCGCAUUAUGUAGGUGAGGAACUUGCUUAAAGUUGAUUGUAUGGUGGUGCAGAUUAAAAUCUCCAUCUAUAUAAUGUACAGUCAAAUAAAUAUAUCCAAGAUUUUGGACAGACGUCCACAUAUCCGAAGUGAAGCUAACACAAGAAUCUAUAUUGGAAAAACCACUAGCAAUCUUUUUUCUCUCUUCUCAAUACACUAACAUGCAAUCAUUCUUGAGUGUCUGCCUGUGUUGUCGGUCGAAACCCACCAGCGAGCAGCGACAGGCAACACGAGAAGUCGGGAGGCUUCCGGGACUGCUGGUGGGUCCCGGUCCCUCGGUCAACGGCCCAGAAGUCCGGCACACGCUCUGACUUGGUGAAGUGUUAGGCGUGCCACCUGACCUAUACCUGAUCACGAAGGUGUAGAAGUCGUUCAUCAGCUAUUUGCUGCAUGCGCAGCCAUAUCAAACAUUAGUCCGAGCUGUGAUCGGCUCUUACAACGACCCCGAGAUCAGCUAAAGAAGCCGAUGGAGUCACUGUACUAGGUCGGACCUUCGGGUACCUUCCAGAAUCGGCUACAAGAAAUCGAUUGCCACGUUGAACAGAUUGGAUCUAUUAACAUGUGAACUUUUGUACGAAUCCGAUAGAAAAGAUAAAAGCAUGCUCUGUAAUUGCCAAGCUAAUCCAAUUUGCGACGGUAAAAGCUUUCACCGCAUAACCGGAACAUCCUAUGCGUGGUUAAGCCUAACAAACAUGAAAGGUAACAAUACGCUAACCCGAAGAGAGGCCUAAAAACCAACUAACAAGUCGAUUCCCGGAACAAUCCCUCGUCAGGUUACCAUAAGGCACCAAACAUGCAACCGGAACAUUUAACCUGUUUGAAGGUCCUAAUCAUAUGGAUAUUAAACCAAUUCCUUGUAACACAAAGAACUACCAUAACAGAUUAGAUCUACUAAGCAAUAACAGAGCAAGGCGCUGCCCUUGCACCUGAGAUCACGUACAAGAGCAGCUGAACGAUUACGAACAGCAAGCAAAACAUGGAUUUACUAUUCAAAACCAAUGCAACAUCAUAAUCGUUUAAGAUAACUAGUGUUACUCGCCAUAAAAAACGCUUCAAUACGAGAAACACAAGAAUAAACAGAUAAAAGCAACGCUGCUCCGACCAUGCGGAACAUGAUCGGAGCAGCAUGUUGAUUACCUGGAAAGAGCCCUUGGGAAAGGGGUGGCGAUGCGCCGAGAGUUUGUUGUGAAUGAUUGAUUUAUUUAUUGAAUCUCACGAUACAUAUUUAUAGUCCGGAGACUUAAUAUUUUCUGCCUAACCCUAGCUGAUUAUGAUACAAUCUCUAACUUACUAUAUUUAAACUAUCCUUAGAUACACGGCCAUCCUGACUCUUGACACGUUCGCACAGAAGCCGAUUUGCAGACUAUUACCAUGCUUUCCUUCAGCCCAUGAUGCUCUCGGCCCAUCACUUGGCCCAGUCAAAUUAUGACGAUAACACAUGCCCCUUGGUUUUGGCAAUGAUAAUUCCGAAACCAUCGCCUCUUCGACUUCUCAGACUUGUGCACGCACAUACCGCUCCCAAUGCCAUUGGACGCGGCCCUUCGACUUCCAAGGCCUGUACACGCGCGCUGCCUUCCAAUACAAUCAGACGCGACCCUUCAACUUCUCUCUCAGGAAUCGCGAUAACACCGCUUCGCCUUCCAUCUCCGCCUUUAUAAACUGUCAUUGGCGGAUUUAUUUCUAUCCAUCUCCCCGUGCAUUAGCCACACCAGCACACUCUGCAUCCCCUGACAAUGGCUUCCUCUUCCUCUAUCUCUUCCAAUUCCCCUUCGUCUUCCAUAAUCUCCAUCACUUCUCCUGACUCUGAAACCUCCAGGGAGGCGACGCCGGAGUUCGAUCCAAUGGCUUCGUAUGAAGCUCUCGCUCCUCUGCAUUGGGAUGCAGAGGAGUGGGAUUUCAGCACUUGGUCAGAGGACGAUGAGCCCCUGACCGACGAUGAGGACCUCCAGAUUCUCCUUCAUGGGGAUCUGGACGAAGGCGGCGACGAAGAUUCCUAGGAUGAUGAUUUCUUCUCUUUCUCAGAAAAAGAUGCCAAGGACACUUCCACCGACGACGACUCAGCAGCAAGAGGAUUUCUGCAUGGUGGAUUGUCGACUUCAGAAGACGACGGGGACGCCAGCGACGACACUAGCGAUGAUGGUGACAGCAGCAACAGCACCGGCGGCGACGAUGGCAGCAGCGACGAUGACACCAGCGCGUCCCCCCCGUACAAACGCCGCAAGACCUUAGGGACUCACUGGUGGUAGUUCAUAGGGUCUUCCACCGUUAUGCGCAUAGCCGGUAGAUCGGCUUCUUUUGUAAUAAUUUCUUGUAAAUGAACCCUCUUGUUUCAGCGAGCCAGUGUUUAAAAAUCUAACCUUCUAAAGUCCGAUGGCAUCGCAUCGGCCUCUUUCCUUGAACUGCCCGAUCCAAUCUCAAACUUUUCUUUAUUCCGGAUCAAAAUUCCCAAGAACUCGAGUAGCCUUCAAAUGAUCUUGUCAAUAACAAGAGUACUCCGCAGUCGACUUCUUUGCUUGUUGUUAAAUCUCGAUCCCCAAUCAGGUCGAAAAAUAUGAGUACCCAGGAAACCCCGCAAACAAGUCGAACCUGUUCUUUUAAGAUCAAGAGACACCUGCAAUCAACCUCUCUGCUUUUAUCGAAACCCAGGAUUUGCAAGGGCCAAUUAUUGCUCCUAGAGUCGAUGGUUUAACAUCGACUGUUCAACCUUCAGCUCUGUGCAUGGACCGGCGCUGCUUUUUCUUUACAGAUCUGGCAUGCUCAUCUCAUUCCACCUUACAGCCUGAUGCAUUGCACCGGCUUCCAAAGUACCCGAUAGAUGCUGACCUGCAGGUCUAGUAUACCACGAGGUACCCGAUCAGAUCAACUCGAUGUACCGCAAAGUACUCGAUUAUAUCUUGCAGCCCAAGGUGUCAUAUCGGCUUUCCUCGCAAACACCCUGGUUGUAUUGGUCCAUAACCUGAUGCCUUACAUCGGCUUCAUUACUCAUCUUCCCACAUGCUCGGGAAAUAUUUCUUGAGAUGCUGACCAUUGACAGCCACCGAAAAUUUAACCCCAUCCAAUUCUUCGAGCAUGUAUGCAUUCCCUGGCAGAGCUUGAUCAACUCUAUAAGGCUCGUGCCAAUUCGGAGACCAUUUACCAUAUGUCGCAUCCUUAGUCCCUAAUGGUAACACCGCUUCCCACACUAAAUCCCCAACUUGGAAUUCCUUCGGUUUAACCUUCUUGUUGUACACGCGGGCUACCUUGGCCUUAUUUUCCUUGAUCUUUUCCAGCAACCAAAGCCUGAGUUCUGUAAUGUCUUCCACAUUGUCGCUCAUUAGUGCUGCAUAUUCUUCAGCAGUCAACACAAUCUGAAACUCUAUCCGACUUGAACCGGCCGUAAUUUCCCAUGGCAAUACGGCCUCCUGCCCAUAUACUAAAUGAUAUGGUGAAGUUCUUGUUGCCCCAUGGCAUGAAACACGAUAAGCCCAUAACGCUUCUGAUAAUACUUCACGCCAACGCCGUGGAUAUUCAUCAAUCUUCCUUUUGAUCAACUUGAUCAGGCUCUGAUUAGACGCUUCGGCUUGUCCGUUUGCUUGAGCGUAGUAUGGAGAUGACCUGAUUAAUUUGAUUCCCAUGUCGGCAGCAAACUUUUUGAAUUCAUCAAAUAUAAACACCGACCCUCCAUCUGUUGUAAUAGUCUGAGGAAUCUCAAACCUAUGAAUAACGUGUUCUUUGAUGAAAUUGAUGACGUCCCUCGACGUUACUGACUUCAUAGGAACAGCCUCUACCCAUUUUGUAAAAUAAUCUGUGAUGGCCAAAAUAAACUGAUGGCCUUUACUCGAUGGAGGAUUAAUCUUACCAAUCAUGUCCAUGCCCCAGCCCCUGAAUGGCCAAGGUUUGAUGAUAGGGUUCAUUGCUGACGCUGGUACUAUUUGUAUCUUUCCAAACCUCUGACAGGCCUGGCAUCCUUUAUAAUACUUGAAGCAAUCUUCCAUCAUAUCAGGCCAAUAAUAUCACGAGCGCUUGAUCAACCACUUCAUCUUGUGGGCUGAUUGAUGAGUACCACACGUAUCUUCAUGGACUUCAUGUAAAAGCCUAUUGGACUUAAUCGGCCCCAAGUAGUAGCCUCUCCAGAGUCCUGUAGAACAAGUCGUCCCAUAUCAGGACUUGCUUCAUGGCUCUGUAACGUAUCUUCUUAGGUGCCCCCCGAGCCAGAUCCUUCAAGUAAUUGAAGAUAUCGGCUCUCCAAUCCCCCUGAUCCAGCAGGUUUAUUGCUCCAUCCGCCGCGUCCUUGUAACCGGAAGCCAUCUGGUAAGAUUAUUGGCCUCAGAAUUUUGUACUCUUGGUAUCCAGUAGAAAUUUAUAUAUCUGAACUAGGCCAUUAGCUCCUGGCAUUGUCUCCAUAAGGGGAACAACAACUCGCUCUCACAUCGGUAUGUCUCCGUGAGCUGAGAGAUGACCAGUUUUGAAUCCCCGAAAACUUCUACUGCUUCUGCUCCAGCUUCGAGGAGUAACUCCAUACCUUUGUGCACCGCUUCAUACUCGGCUAGAUUAUUGGUGCCAGGUGUUGGCAAUCUGAUUGAAAAGGAACAUGUUGCCCCCCGAGGCGAGACGAGUAAGAUACCUAUGCCAGAACCAUCUCCACAGACCGACCCAUCAAAAUAUAUUGCCCAUGCGCGGAUGGAAAGCGCCGCUAUGCCUGAGCUGGUCCACUCUGCAACGAGGUCGGCCAGCGCCUGCCCUUUGACUGCUUUCGCAGGCUGGUACCGGAUAUCAAAUUCUGACAGAGCGAGCAUCCAUUUACCGAGUCGGCCUUUCAACACCGGGGUCGACAACAAAUGCUUGAUAACAUCUGAUUUGCAGAUGACAAUUGUCUCGGCAGAAAGCAGGAUGUGGCGGAGCUUCGUACAGGUAAAGAAUAGACAAAGGUAUAGUUUCUCAAUUUCAGGGUACCUUAUCUCUGCAUCUAGCAUCCUCCUGCUGAGAUAAAAAAAACUCUCUUCUUGCCAUCCUGCACUUGUAUGAUGACCGAAGCAAUGGAAGUAUCACCCACUGAUAGAUAAAUAUAGAAUGGCUUACCCUGCUGGGGUGGGACUAACACAGGCGGUUUGGAUAAAUAUUCUUUGAUUUCUUCAAACGCCUGUUGUUGCUCUGCCCCCUAGCGGAACUCGUCAUUGGCUUUAAGUUUCACCAACUCCAUGAAUGGCUCGAUUCUUCCUGACAGAUUGGAAAUGAAUCUCCUAACAAAAUUUAUCUUACCAGUGAGUUGUUGGAGCUCCUUCUUUGUAGUAGGUGGCACCAUCAUUUUUACAGCUUCUUGACUUUUUAGGCCGAUCUCAAUUCCUCGUUCAUGAACCAGAAAACCCAGAAACUGACCGGCUGAUACACCAAAAGCACACUUCUUUGGAUUCAUUCUAAGCCCGAACUUCCUAGUUCGUUCCAAAACUCGUUGUAGAUCUCUUAAAUGUCCCUCAGCCGAUGCAGAUUUCACCACCACGUCAUCAAUAUAGAUCUCCACCAGCUUGCUGAUCAAAUCAUGAAACAUAUAGUUCAUGGCCCGUUGAUACGUAGCACCAGCAUUUUUGAGCCCAAAAGUCAUGACCACAUACACAAAUAAUCCCACUGCACCUGAUACUCUGAAUGCAGUCUUAUGAAUAUCUUCUGGAGCUAUAAAAAUCUGGUUAUAACCAGCAUUGCCAUCCAUAAAACUCAACAUCUUAUGACCAGCAGCCGCAUUAAUCAAUGUUUCCGCAACUGGCAUCGGAUACUCAUCUUUUGGUGUGGCUCUGUUAAGAUCUCUGAAGUCUACACAGACUCUCCAUCGGCCGUCCUUCUUCUGUACAGGCACAAUACUGAAAAUCCAUUCAGCAUACCUGCAUGGCCUGAUGAAGCUUGCUGCCAUCAUCUUUUCGAGUUCUUUCUUGACUUCUUCUAGGACUUCGGCCUUCAUUUGCCGUGCUCGUUGCUGGAACGGCCAAAAUCCUGGCUUAAGAGGGAGUCGAUGCUCAACAAUACUUCUAUCCAACCCAGGCAUCUCUGUGUAAUCCCAGGCAAAACAGUCCAUAAAUUCUCUCAGCAGUAUUAUCAUCGCCUCUCGCAACUCUGGAUUUAACUUUUUGUUGAUAAAUGUUGGCCGUGGCUUAUCCCCAGGACCAAUAUCGACUUCUUCCAGCUCGUCAGUAGAUGUAAACCCGUAUCCUAGCUUCCCUUCAUCCAUCAAGUCGAUACUGCAAAUAAACAAAGAAUAUGAAGCAGAAGGAUUUGGCCGAUCGCAGGGAUCGGCCGACUUGUUCUUUGCAUUAAUGUGUAUUAUUUUACAAUCACAUGGCCGGCUGCUCGAGCAGGCCUCUUUGCGAUCAUUAUAACAAUGUAACAUGGAUGACAAAAACAACUUGAUUCUAUUUUUUGGAGGCCGAUCGCGGGGAUCGGCCUUUCCUGUUACUUUCCCAUCUACUCCAUAAGGCCAGUGGAUAAGACCAGCCUCACCCUGUUUUUUGUAGCUUCCACGCGGUCGCAGCCCUCCAAGCUAAUCCCUGAGAUCGGUUCCUGGUCCUCCGCGUCCCAGACACUCAUGGCAGCAUGUGAAACUUCAACAGAGUCGUCCGCGUGGACCACUUCUACUUCAUCUCCGUCCCAUUGAAUCAGACACUGGUGCAUUGUAGAAGGGAUACAGCAAUUGGCAUGGAUCCAAUCUCUCCCAAGCAGAACGGUGUAUGAGCCCUUGCUGUUGACCACAAAAAACGACGUAGGGACGGUUUUACCUCCUACCGUCAGAUCCACGCUGAGGACUCCUUGCGCCUCUGAAGUUUGUCCGUUGAAGUCACUUAGCGUGAUGUUGGUUUUGAUCAAGUCCCCAACAGAAUGCCCCAACUUGCACGGCACUGAAUACAGCAUUAUAUUAACCGCUGCUCCUGUAUCGACUAGCAUCCUGCUGACAGGCUGGCCGUUUAUGUACCCCUUGAGAUAUAAUGCCUUCAGGUGCCUGUAAUUCUUUUCUCGGGGCUUCUCGAAAAUGACUGGUCGUGGCCCCAAGUCAAGCUGAGCCACUGGCACCUCCUCAUGUCCUGGUGCAUGAAACUCUGCAGAGAGAACAAACACCAUGUGUGCAUCAGCCGAUGUCUUCACAUUGGCUUUCGACUUCUUGGGUCGCCAUACCUUCUUGGAAGAACUCUCUGCUUUUCGAGGGUUGUGGACCUUUUCCGCCAAAUCUGGCCGCACUUUCCUUAAUGUUUCCAAGUAUUGGACCUCGGCUUCUUCCAGGUUGCACAGCCGCUGUACCCUCCGCUUCUAGGACCGGUUGAGCCCAUCAGGACACCAGCGUGGUCGGUGAUACUUGUCCUCCUCAUCUUCUGAAUUUCCCACUGUAUGUGUCAACUUGUCUUGUUCAUGGCGGGGUUGCCCUGGUCCCAAAUGCUGAAAAACUGAAGCACUUCUUGUUCUGAGAAUUGCACUCUAGGCAAUCUUCAAGGUUGGGUAGUCUCUUCAUACCAGAAUCCCAACAGUAUUUGAAGAACGGGCAAUGCCAAUGAUCUCGUGCAUCCUCUCACUUCCUGAGGCGUUUCCCAGUGCAUCGCUCGUACUCUUCUUCUUCAGUUUCACGUUGGAGAUGCUGUUGAUACUGAUACUGGUAUUUUCUCAGAAGAUGAGAAGAAACCGGUCGUUGAUUCCGGACAUGCCUGACCUGUUGUUCGGUGAUAUAGUCUCUUUCUUCUUUUUGGGGCCGAUCGCGGGAAUCGGCCUCUUGCCUCCUUGUAUGCUGACGUGAUGCAUGUCCUGCCAUGUUAAUACCGAGCGUGAAAUCCAACUGACGACGCGUUGACCGGUCGUACCCUUCCACCAUGUUUACAUUCGGGAAUAGUUGAGUAUCGACCUUCAUGGCGUACUAUCCCAAGAUUAAUCGGCCUUACUCAAUGGCCGAUUGUAUCUGCCGCCGGAGUUCUUUGCAGUCAUUGGUACCGUGAGUGAAAGAGUUAUGCCACUUGCAGUAUGAUCUCCCCUGGAGCUCCUGAGCUGUUGGGAUCUUGAAACCUUCAGGGAACUUCAAUUGCUUUUCCUUCAAGAGUAAGUUGAAUAUUUGUUCGACUUUGCUUACAUCAAAAUCAAAAUCUUUCAGAGGGCCCUGUUGUUUCACCCACUUGCAGGGCACAGGCUUUGCCCCCCGUGCCCAUUCCACAACUGCAAUCUCUUGGUCAUCCUCAGAGUCUUCGGAGUCUUCAGCAUCAACCAUUACUACUUGACGUUUAAACUUGUCUUGGUAUAAUUCUAAGUGACGUUGCUCGUAUACUGUCAUUUUCUACACCAAAUGAGCCAAAGAGUUGAACUCCAACUGCAAAACCAAAUCUCUGAUCGGCUUUACCAAUCCCAAAGUUGCCAAUUCAACUGCCUCCUUCUCUGAAAUUCGAAUUGAGUAGCAUCAAUUCUUGACUUCCCUGAAAAGCUGUAUGUACUCCGCCACUGUUUCUCCCCGUUUCUGGCGGACCUGUGCCAAAUCAGCAAUCCCAGCUUCUGCAGCUUCUGAGUGAUAUUGUAUAUGGAACUGUUCCUCUAGCUGCUUCCAGGUGCGGAUAGAAUCAGGGUCCAAUGAUGUGUACCAUCCAAAAGCCGGCCCUGUGAGAGACUGCGAGAAGAACCUUACUCGCAAUGGAUCCGACAUCGAAAUCAUCCCCAGCUGCGCUAGAUAUCGGCUCACGUGUUCUAUGGAGCUGGAUCCUUCUGCUCCGCUGAAUUUGGUGAACUCAGGUAGCCGAUACUUGGGUGGCAGAGGAAUUAGGUCGUAGUCGCUUGGAUACGGCUUGGUGUAGCCGAUCGCUCGCCUUCUUGGGAGAAUGCCAAAUUGAUCUCUCAAAAUGGCACUAAUUUGAUCCACUGUAUGAACUCCUAGGGCCGAGUGCGUUCCUUCAUGACUUGGCCCUGUUGCAUAGGUAGCCAGCCAUGCCUGUUUAUCGGCAUCUACUGCAAAUGUUCCUCCAGUUGCUCUCUGCAUGGGUUGCGCCGGGUUACCACCAUCUGGUAUAUAUGCGCAAACAUAUCCAUGCGGAACCUCCUUGGGGGGUUCGUUGAAGAACUGGUGAUCAGCAGGGUCACCUCCCACCUUGUAUAUGACAUAUGCUGCAGAAUUAUGUUGCUCUGGGGCUGCAAAUGCAUACGGCACUAGUGGUCUGGAUUGAGAAGGCAACUCCCCUUUGUGACUCCCUAAAGCAGGUCCUAUUGGAGAGUACUGGUGUUUCAUAAUUUCCUGCACCACGCGCACCGCGACGCGCUCGAGGGUGUUCACCAAACUCUCAGAAUGCCGAUGUAAUGAGUGAGCCACCAUGUAGUUGACUUCCUGGCGGAGAGCUCGCGUACGUUCUUCCGUAGGGGUAGAUAGAUCCACUUCGUCGAGUGCCCCUUCAGAUGAAAAUCCCUUCCAUCUAAUGCCGUGGUGACGAGUUCUUUCAAACGAGCCGAUGAGAUCGGCUUCAAAAGCAGCUUUUAUUUCAUUAUACCUCUGCUUGUGAUCAUCGGACAACUCCUCAAAAGUAAUCGGGUUCUCGUCCGGCAUCUUGACAACAGAAGUCGAUGAAGCCGAAAAAGAUAAUGCAGCCGACUAUAGUCGAUGUAGUCGAAGUAGUCACUGGAGUAGUCGAUGUGACCGGUGAAGUCGAUGAAGUAGUCGAUGAGUCCCACCAGGCGUGCCAGAAUGUGUUGUCGGUCGAAACCCACCGGCGAGCAGCGACAGGCAACACGAGGAGCCGGGAGGCUUCCGGGACUGCUGGUGGGUCCCGGUCCCUCGGUCAACGGCCCAGAAGUCCAGCACACGCCCUGGCUUGGUGAAGUGUUAGGCAUGCCACCUAACCUAUACCUGAACAGGAAGGUGUAGAAGUCAUUCGUCAGCUAUUUUCUGCAUGCACAGCCAUAUCAAACAUUAGUCCGAGCCGUGAUCAGCUCUUACAACGACCCUGAGAUCAGCUAAAGAAGCUGAUGGAGUCAUUGUACUAGGUCGGACCUUCGGGUACCUUCCAGAAUCGGCUACAAGAAACCGAUUGCCACAUUGAACAGAUCGGAUCUAUUAACAUGUGAACGUUUUGUAUGAAUCCGAUAGAAAAGAUAAAAGCAUGCUCUGUAAUUGCCAAGCUAAUACAAUCUGCGAUGGUAAAAGCUUUCACCGCAUAACCGGAACAUCCUAUGCGUGGUUAAGCCUAAUGAACAUGAAAGGUAACAAUACGCUAACCCGAAGAGAGGCCUAAAAACCAACUAACAAGUCGAUUCCCAGAACAAUCCCUCGUCAGGUUACCAUAAGGCACCAAACAUGCAACCGGAACAUUUAAUCCGUUUGAAGGGCCUAAUCAUACGGAUGUUAAAUCAAUUCCUUAUAACACAAAGAACUAGUAUAACAGAUUAGAUUUACUAAGCAAUAACAGAGCAAGGCGCUGCCCUUGCACCUGAGAUCACGUACAAGAGCAGCUGAACGAUUACGAGCAGCAAGCAAAACAUGGAUUUACUAUUCAAAACCAAUGCAACAUCAUAAUCGUUUAAGAUAACUAGUGUUACUCGCCAUCAAAAACGCUUCAGUACGAGAAACACAAGGAUAAACAGAUAAAAGCAACGCUGCUUCGACCAUACGGAACAUGAUCGGAGCAGCAUGUCGAUUACCUGGAAAGAGCCCUUGGGAAAGGGGUGGCAAUGCGCCGAGAGUUUGUUGUGAAUGAUUGAUUUAUUUAUUGAAUCUCACGAUACAUAUUUAUAGUCCGGAGACUUGAUCUUUUCUAACUAACCCUAACUGAUUACGAUACAAUCUCUAACUUACUAUAUUUAAACUAUCCUUAGAUACACCGCCAUCCUGGCCCUUGACACGUUCGCACAGAAGCCGAUUUGCAGACUGUUACCAUGCUUUCCUUCAGCCCAUGAUGCUCUCGGCCCAUCCCUUGGCCCAGUCAAAUUAUGGCGAUAACAGCCUGCCAUGGACUUCAAGGCUUGGAUGGGCUGAUCUCAUCAUUCUCUUAAAAAAACCAUUUGAUAUCUUUCUAAAGGCAACAUUGGCAGUGAUCCAAAACUUAGUCAUAAAAUCUCUCACUAACUUAGGAUCCAGUACAAAAUUGCAAACAUCCACACUAGACACACUUUUUGGAAAAAUAGAAUUACGAUCAAGAUCUGGAGGAAGUUCUUUGCAGGAUGAUCUAAUAUGAUUCUAUAGGUG